AAAAGGACUAAGGAUAUGUUUCUCGUAUAUGGAGGUGACAAAGAGCUCAUCGUAAACGGUUACGUUGAUGCAAGCUUUGACACUGAUCCGGACGAUUCUAAAUCGCAGACCGGAUACGUAUUUACACUAAACGGAGGAGCUGUCAGUUGGUGCAGUUCUAAACAAAGCGUCGUAGCGGGAUCUACAUGUGAAGCGGAGUACAUAGCAGCUUCGGAAGCAGCUAAUGAAGGAGUCUGGAUGAAGGAGUUCAUAUCCGAUCUAGGUGUCAUACCUAGUGCAUCGGGUCCAAUGAAAAUCUUCUGUGACAAUACUGGAGCAAUUGCCUUAGCGAAGGAAUCCAGAUUUCACAAGAGGACCAAGCACAUCAAGAGACGCUUCAAUUCCAUCCGGGACUUAGUCCAGGUGGGAGACAUAGAGAUUUGCAAGAUACAUACGGAUCUGAAUGUUGCAGACCCGUUGACUAAGCCUCUUCCACGAGCAAAACAUGAUCAGCACCAAGACCCCAUGGGUGUUAGAAUCAUUACUAUGUAAUCUAGAUUAUUGACUCUAGUGCAAGUGGGAGACUGAAGGAAAUAUGCCCUAGAGGCAAUAAUAAAGUUAUUAUUUAUUUCCUUAUUUCAUGAUAAAUGUUUAUCAUUCAUGCUAUAAUUGUAUUAACCGGAAACAUGAUACAUGUGUGAAUGUAUAGACAAAACAAUAUGUCACUAGUAUGCCUCUACUAGACUAGCUUGUUAAUCAAAGAUGGUUAUGUUUCCUGACCAUGAACAAAGAGUUGUUAUUUGAUUAACGAGGUCACAUCAUUAGUAGAAUGAUCUGAUUGACAUGACCCAUUCCAUUAGCUUAGCACACGAUCGUUUAGUAUGUUGCUACUGCUUUUAUCCAUGACAUAUACAUGUUCCUGUAACUAUGAGAUUAUGCAACUCCCGUUUACCGGAGGAACACUUUGGGUGCUACCAAACGUCACAACGUAACUGGGUGAUUAUAAAGGAGUACUACAGGUGUCUCCAAAGGCAGAUGUUGGGUUGGCGUAUUUCGAGAUUAGGUUUUGUCACUCCGAUUGUCGGAGAGGUAUCUCUGGGCCCUCUCGGUAGUGCACAUCACUGAAGCCUUGCAAGCAUUACAACUAAUGAGAUAGUUGUGAGAUGAUGUAUUACGGAACGAGUAAAGAGACUUGCCGGUAACGAGAUUGAACUAGGUAUUGGAUACCGACGAUCGAAUCUCGGGCAAGUAACAUACCGAUGACAAAGGGAACAAUGUAUGUUGUUAUGCGGUCUGACCGAUAAAGAUCUUCGUAGAAUGUGUAGGAACCAAUAUGGGCAUCCAGGUCCCGCUGUUGGUUAUUGACCGAGAAUAGUUCUAGGUCAUGUCUACAUUGUUCUCGAACCGUAGGGUCCGCACGCUUAAGGUUUCGAUGACAGUUAUUAUGAGUUUAUGUAUUUUGAUGUACCGAAGAAGUUCGGAGUCCCGGAUGUGAUCACGGACAUGACGAGGAGUCUCGAAAUGGUCGAGACAUAAAGAUUGAUAUAUUGGAAGCCUAUAUUUGGAGUUCGGAAUGGUUCCGGGUGAAAACAGGAAUUUACCGGAGUACCGGGAGGUUACCGGAACCCCCCGGGUACUACAUGGGCCUUAGUGGGCCUCGAGGGAGAAGAGGAGGGGCCGGCUAGGGGUGGCCACGCGCCCCCUCCCCCCCCAGUCCGAAUNNNNNNNNNNGGGGGGGGGGGCGGCGCCCCCCUUUCCUCUUCCCCCUCCCCCAAUCCUACUCCAACUAGGAAAGGGGGGGAGUCCUACUCCCGGUGGGAGUAGGACUCCUUCGGCGCGCCCCCUCUAGGCCGGCCGCACCUCCCCCCUCCCUCCUUUAUAUACGGGGGCAGGGGGGCACCCUAGGACACACAAGUUUGAUCUACGGAUCGUUCCUUAGCCGUGUGCGGUGCCCCCCUCCACCAUAUUCCACCUCGGUCAUACCGUCGCGAAGCUUAGGCGAAGCCCUGCGCCGGUGAAACAUCAAGAUCGUCACCACGCCGUCGUGCUGACGGAACUCUCCCUCGACACUCGGCUGGAUCGGAGUACGAGGGACGUCAUCGAGCUGUACGUGUGUCAAGAACUCGGGGGCGCCGGAGUAACGGCGUCGGGAUCGGCCGGAUCGCGAGGAGAACGUACGACUACUUCCUCUACGUUGUGAUCGCUUCCGCUUCGGGUCUACGAGGGUACGUAGACAACACUCUCCCCUCUCGUUGCUAUGCAUCACCAUGAUCUUGCGUGUGCGUAGGAAAAUUUUUGAAAUUACUACGUUCCCCAACAUUCCAAACAUCGGUGCCCGAGGCAUGGGCUCGUUCCCGCUUGUCGUGUCGCCUGGGGAGGAGCAAGCAUGGGGAGAUGUUUCCUUGGUUACCAACAUGAUGUGAUUUCCAUAGAUUUCAUUUGUUUGCUCCACAUUGUUGCCAAGAUUGCAUUUUGACGAUACGUUUUUUGUUGCAGCAUCCUCGUGAAUGUGAAUGGGUUGUUUGGGUUGACCCUCCUCCAUAUCAUGUUGGGCGUGCUUUUGCCUUUUGAGGAAAGGCAUGCUGGGCUAGAAGCAAGUUGGCUCAAAAUUCAUCGUCUAGAGAGGAGGGUGGCACUCUAAGAGAGAGAAAGAAGAAGCUCAAGUUAGAGUUGAAGAAGAGGCAUGAUCAGAUGGAAACAUGGGCAUUUAUGAUGAUUGAUAGCAUAUGCAUUAUGUCCUAUUUGUUUUGUUCCAAGAAUGCAUCUUAGAUGGCUUUGACAUUGUAGGCACUGAGUAGAACUUGCUUCAUGAUGUGAACCUUGUAAUGAUGUGAGUUGAUGUUUUGCACCUUCUGCUUAGACAAAUUAAUUGAGAAGCAUCAGUUUGGUCUUGUCAUCUCUUUCUCUUACUGUGUUUGUUUGUGAUUCUUGUACAUAAAUGAUAAUGCAUCAGUGCAUAAGUUGUUUUAUAUGAAUUUGCAAAAUCGGCAUGGAAACAUCUAUGGCUAACAAGGAACAACAACAUGCCAGGAUCAAAAUCACAUGAUCUAGGAGAAAAACUUGCCAGGAAGACCAGCUACAUGCCAACAUGAAUUAAGACCAACAAAACCACAUGAUCAACAUGCCAGGAUCAACAUGAAGAUAUGACCAACAACAACAUCACUUAAGAUAGCGCAUACUGCAUAGUUCACACAACAACAUAAGUUCAAUAGUACCAAAUAAGACCAUAGUUCAAAAUUUCGUACAUUGCUCACACAAAGGGACACAUAGUUCAAAGCUUCUGGUACAUAGUUCAAACAAAGGGACACAUGAUCACACAACGUUCACAGCAAAUUUCCUUCUUGCUCCAAGUGUUGCAUGCAGGAUGAGAAAAGAGCCUGGACUUGCUUCUAGUGCUCCUAGUAUCAGCUGCCACCUUCUUAGGAGAGGAAGAGCUUGUAAGCUGGUUUCUUCGAUUUAUAGAACCAACAGUCGAAAGUGUAUCACAUUUCGCCUUAUUUUUUGGUGAAAGAGGAUUUGUAACUCUUUCUGCUAGCCUUUUGUAAUUUUUCCUUGGCCAAGAAGUGUCAACACAAGCUUUAUUAGUUAGUAAUGAAAUAAUUUGACAAAUAAAUCACUUAGUUGUAGUUAAGAUAGCAGUAUACCUGACAACACUUGCUAUAGUUGGUGCUUCACUUCCAGGAUCUACAUAAUCACCAAUAUUUGCUGGGGUAGCUCCACAAUUUUCUAGAGUUGUGGGUGCAAGUGUUUCUUAUGCUUCAUUGUUGUCUUGUGGCGCAUCAAUUUCUGCAGGUGCAUCAAUUUCUGUUGGUGCAUUGUGUCUAGUGGUGUAUCUAUUUCUGCAGGUGCAUCAUUGUUUUCAGGUGCAUUGCCAGCACCCCAAUGCUCACCCUCUAAUUCAAAAGCUGAGUCAAUUAACUCUUUGCACUUAUUGCCAUGGUGACCAAGUCUGCCACAUCUAGGACAUUUCUUUCUCCUACCCCAAGCCCUUUCCUUCUAACUUUGCCCUAGUUGUAGUCUUUCUAGGUCUCCCAGGGGGCAUGUCUUGAACGGGAGCACUCAGUUUGAACCGAGGUCAACUAUAUCCCAAUGUUGCCCAUUCCAACAAGGCGAACACCACUAGGUCUCGGGGACCGACAAGGCGGAGGCCGUUCAUAUGUUAGUGUUAACGAGGCCAGCCACCUUCAUCAUUGGACAUCGGUAAGUCGGAGGGGAUACGAACACGCGUCGUCGGAGUGAUGGAUGUACCGUUCCAUCUUUCUAUUCCACUUCAUCAUCAUCGUUGUCUACACCAAGCACUAGGACAAGACGAGACUUGGAGAUGAUGACCAUUGAAGCUGCUUAAUCGGAUGUGGUCCAUGACUUAGACUCGUGGACGUAUCUAAUUGGGAGCCUUCGAACACCCCCAUUAACCAGAACUUCACAAUAGCCCAAGUCAUAUCGGCCGAACUAGAAUGCCAUGGAGCGCAUUCUGGGAUGAUAGAUUAAUAAAUUUAAUGUUUCCCUAUGUUUAUUUCUGUACUUAUUACACUAUCACACCCGUAAUAUUUAUUUUCCCUGGUGCAUAGAGAGAUAAUAGCAUAAUUACGUGUGUUAAACACCUCGAAUAUGCAGAAACAACGACCAAGACGGCCUCUAUAUUGCACACGACCUCGAGUAGAGUUCACUCAUGGGAAUGUCACUGUGUCACCACCGACUUGGAGCAUGAUACACAUGAAACAUCAUUGGGGAAGCCAUGUUGGGAGCGUGAAACGCUUGACAUGCCGAUGAGGUGUCUUAUAGAUGUAAAACCCCACACCACCAGGAGGGACACUGUUAGGACGUGCGUUAGAUAUGAGCUUUCCAAGGUCAGCCUAACCUCCCCAUGGCCUCGGGAUUCGCUGCUAUUGAACACGAAGGACAAUGAAGAACAAGACGGAUGAUUGGAUGAAGAUGGUGGGGAUGGUGGUGAUGCCAAUGGAGGCAAUGAUGGUGAUGGAGUUUCCCUCGGCAACGUUCUAGCUCCACGAGAAGGGAGGGAAAGAGAGCCCUCCUCUUUCUUGCUCAAUCCCACAAUACCGCCCAAUACAAAUAAGAUAAGGGGAGAAAGAAAUUUGAAUAUCAACACCCACAGAACAUUGUGUUAUUCUCGCGUGAAUACAUCUAUGCAUAGACCUCUCUCAUGAUGCCACUGAUGGGGGAUGUUGAAUGAAAAUCAAAAUAUUUCCUACGAAACACCCAUGAACUAAUCUAGGAAAUGUAUAACAACGAGAGGGAGUAUGUCUACGUACCUUCAUAGAACAAAAGUGUUAGCAUCAUAACGCGGCUGAUGUAGUAGUACUCUUCACGAUCCAAUCUGAUCUAGUGCCGAACGGGUGGCACCUCCGAGAUUAGUACACAUUCAGGUUGAUGGUGUCCUCUCCGUCUUGAUCCAGUAAGCGAGGGAGAGGAGGUAGAUGAGAUAUGAACCAGCAUGGCGGUACAGGAUGUCCAAAACCCACCUAGGCCCAGCCACAAUGUUAAAAUCCCUUUAAACUUGGAGAUAACAUAUUAUCUCCAAAUUCAACCCUUUAAAUUUAGAGAUAAGACCUUAUCUCUAGAUUUAAACAACAUGUGCCUUGGGGAAUGGGGCGGCCAGCCUGUGUGAGCUAUAGCCCCACCCCUCAGUCCAUGUGGGCCCUUCCUAGGUUGUUGGCCCCACGGUGGAACCUCGGGACCUUCCAGAACCUUCCUGGUACAAUAUCGAAAAAGGCAAACUUUUUCCGGAACCCAAAAUAUGACUUCCAUAUAUAAAUCUUUACCUCUGGACCAUUCUGGAACUCCUCGUCAUAUCCCGGAUUUUGUCUGGGACUUCGAACAACCUUCGGACUUUUCCCUAUUAAUAUCUCAAUGCUACCCUACCGCCAUCGAACGUUAACCGUGCGACUCUACAGGUUCGGAACAUGUAGACAUGACCAAGACUCCUCUCCGGUCAAUUACCAAUAGUGGGAACUAGAUGCCCAUAUUGAUCCUUACAUAUUCAAUGAAGAUCUUUAUAGGUUGAACCACGGUGUCGAGGAUUCAGUUAAUCUCGUAUGCAAUUCCCUUUGUCCAGCGAUAUGUUACUUGCCCGAGAUUCAAUCUUCAGUAUCUCGUUAGCAGCAAGUCCCUUUACGCGUUUCGUAAUACAAGAUCUCGUGAUUAUUCAUUAGUAAUAUGAAGGUUCAUAUGAUGUUGUAUUACUGAGAGGGCCCGGAGAUAUCUCUCCGUCACACAGAGUGACAAAUCCCAGUCUCGACCCAUGCAACCCAAUAGACACCUUCAGAGAUACCUGUAGAGCACCUUUAUGAUCAUCCAGUUAUGAAGUGAUGUUUUAUAGCACACAAGACAUUCGUCGGGUAUACGGGAGUAGCAUGAUCUCAUGGUCGAAGGAAUAGAUACUUGAUAUGAAGAAAGCUAUAGCAAAUAAUUAAACAAUUUGAUGCUAAGCUUCUGGUUAGGUCUGUCCAUCACAUCAUUCUUCUAAUGAUGUGAUCACGUUAUCAAAUGUCAACUCAUGUCUAUGGUUAGCAAACCCUAACCAUCUCUGAUCAACGGGCUAGUCUAGUAGAGGCUUACUAGAGACUCUGUCUAGUUUAUAAAUUCACACAUGUAUUUAAGUUUCUGGUCAAUACAAUUCUAGCAUGAAUAAUAAACAUUUAUCAUGAAUAUGAAAUAUGCUAAUAACCAAUUUAUUAUUGCCUCUAGGACAUAUUUCCAACAGGAGAGGGAAUUGAUCACGGAGGGCUUCUACAUCAUCGUUGCUACCUUCCGAUAUGCGUGAGUAGUUUGACCUACGGGCCCAUAGCUAGUAGCUAGAUGGCUCUUCUCUCUUUGAUCUUUAAUACAAUGUUCUCCUCGAUGUUCUUGAAGUUCUAUUCGAUGGAAUCUUCUUUUGUGGUGUCUUUGUUGGGAUUCAAUGAUUUGUUAGUUUAUGAUCUGAAUAUUUAUGACAAGUAAUCGAGUCUUUUUAAAACUUUAUUAUGCAUAAUUAUUAUCAAGGAGGAUCCCAAUGGGCCAACCCUGUGGCACAAGCUAUAGGGUCCAAGAUUUUUUUAGAGCUAAUUAACAGUAAUUUGGCCCAAGGCAACAGAGUGGCGCGGCAAGUGUGCCACAUGACCGAUGAAACCAGCCCACGCGGCAGCAAGGUGGCUGGUGGCACUACUAGGAAAAGGCCUACUAAUGGCGUGCCCGUUUUGGCUACUAAUGGCGCACUACAGGUGCGCCAUUAGUACCACGCCACUAGUAUAUUUUAGUAAUGGCGCACCACAGGUGCGCCAUUAGUAUCUGGUAUACUAAUGGCGCGAUGCGCCAUUAGUAUCCCACAUGUGCGCCAUUAGUAUCUGGUGUACUAAUGACGCACCACAUGGAAGUGCGCCAUUAGUAACAAUUUUUUUUAAAUUUUUUUCGUUUUUUCUUAAUCUCAGGUCACUAUUUCACAUAUGAGAUAUCCAACACAUAUAUAUACAACAAGCAUCCAUAUAACAAUCAUAUCCAACACACAAGUUUCAUCAUAUAUACAUACAUAGCCAACACAUAGUUCCAUUGUUACAUAUUACAAAAGUUUCAUAUUGUUCAUCAAACACCGUUAUCCAUCAAUUCACAAAAGUUUCACAUUGAUACAAAAUAAAAACACAAACGGAAAAGAAGCACUCCAUCCAUGCAAGCUUCCGUGAAUUAAAUCAAAUCUGCAAAAUGAUAAAGAAGAAGUUAGAAGAAGAAGAAGAAGAAGAAGAAGAGAAGAAGAAGAAGAAGAAGAGAAGAAGAUGAAGAAGAAGAAGAAGAAGACUAGAAGAAUACUAGAAGAAGAACACUAGAUGAAUACUAGAAGAAGAAUAAGAAGAAGAAUAAGAAGAAUAAGAAGAAGACUAUAAGCUUAUUAUGUAAACUUGAUCAUUUUGUGCUAACAUAAGUAAUUUUGGAGCUAACCUAUAGGAAACUAAGCAUAUAAGCUCUCUAAGUUAGCAUAUUAGAGCCAACUUAGGUAAAAUGAAGCUAACCUAUGUCAUUUUGGAAAANNNNNNNNNNNNNNNNNNNNNNNNNNNNNNNNNNNNNNNNNNNNNNNNNNNNNNNNNNNNNNNNNNNNNNNNNNNNNNNNNNNNNNNNNNNNNNNNNNNNNNNNNNNNNNNNNNNNNNNNNNNNNNNNNNNNNNNNNNNNNNNNNNNNNNNNNNNNNNNNNNNNNNNNNNNNNNNNNNNNNNNNNNNNNNNNNNNNNNNNNNNNNNNNNNNNNNNNNNNNNNNNNNNNNNNNNNNNNNNNNNNNNNNNNNNNNNNNNNNNNNNNNNNNNNNNNNNNNNNNNNNNNNNNNNNNNNNNNNNNNNNNNNNNNNNNNNNNNNNNNNNNNNNNNNNNNNNNNNNNNNNNNNNNNNNNNNNNNNNNNNNNNNNNNNNNNNNNNNNNNNNNNNNNNNNNNNNNNNNNNNNNNNNNNNNNNNNNNNNNNNNNNNNNNNNNNNNNNNNNNNNNNNNNNNNNNNNNNNNNNNNNNNNNNNNNNNAUAAGAAGAAGACUAUAAGCUUAUUAUGUAAACUUGAUCAUUUUGUGCUAACAUAAGUAAUUUUGGUGCUAACCUAUAGGAAACUAAGCAUAUUAGAGAUAACAUAGGUAACUAAGUAUAUAUAUAUAUAUAUAUAUAUAUAUAUAUAUAUAUAUAUAUAUAUAUAUCAUUUUGGAGAUCUGACAUACCUGACAUAGUUCAGUUCUCAUUGUUCUUCUCCUUCUCCUUCCUCAGCCUGAUGCGCCAAGAGCGGCGAGGCGGUGGAGGCAGCUGUGGGAUGUAGUCUUCUACCACAAUUGGCGUGGUCAUGUCGCCCAGNNNNNNNNNNNNNNNNNNNNNNNNNNNNNNNNNNNNNNNNNNNNNNNNNNNNNNNNNNNNNNNNNNNNNNNNNNNNNNNNNNNNNNNNNNNNNNNNNNNNNNNNNNNNNNNNNNNNNNNNNNNNNNNNNNNNNNNNNNNNNNNNNNNNNNNNNNNNNNNNNCUUCUCCUUCCUCAGCCUGAUGCGCCAAGAGCGGCCAGGCGGUGGAGGCAGCUGUGGGAUGUAGUCUUCUACCACAAUUGGCGUGGUCAUGUCGCCCAGCUGUGGGAUCACCGGCGCCACCACCGGUGCGUGGUCAUUGUCAGGCACCACCACCAUCGUGAGGCCACCUUCAGGCAGGACGGGCACGACGAUCGCUAGGUCAUCCUCAUCCACCACCAUCUCUUGCCCAUGGUCAGCCACCACCAUCUCUUCCCCAUGGUCAGCCACCACCAUCUCUUGCCCUUGGUCAGCCACCACCAGCGCUAGGUCAUCCUCAGCCUGACGCCCAUCGUCAUCUUGCAGCUUCUCAUCCCCACUCUGCUCCUCUUCUCCCCCACUCCAGUCUGGAUCAUCAUUCUUGUUGUCUUCGCUGCUGCCAGAAUCGUUGCUGCUUUCGCUAAAGCCAGAAUCGCUGUUGCUUUUGCUACAGCCAUAAUCGCUGCUGCUUUGGCUGUAGCCAGUGUCGCUGCUGCUGCUCCCAUUGCCUGUCCAAAUGCAACAAUGACCGUUAACAAUCGAUGUGAGACAAAGCCAAAUGUAGAGGAAUAAGAAGAGGCAGAACAUACUGGCAUCAUCAUCGUCAGCGUAGCGCAUGCGACACAUAGUCGCAUUGAACACCUUCACGAUGAGCAUGGUGGCGUCGUCGUCGUACCUGAAGAGAAGGAAGUACCCCAGCCGCAGGUCGUAGGCACGGUAGAACUUCUCCCACCCAUGAUACAAGUACAUGUGGCCCUCCUUGAUCACCAACUCCACAUCCCACUGCCUGCGAAACCCGCUGCCGGCCUGUUGCAGCUUCACAUUAUUUGGUGGAUCUUCACCCAGCAUGUUCAUAAAACUGUCAGGCAGCCUCUACAGUUUUUGACAAUGAGUGAUGUAGCAAACAACAGAUAUCAUAAUGAGAUGGGUGAAGGGGAGAUCUCUCCUUUUAUAUACCUGCGUCAUGGAUGAUACUAAAGUCCCAAGUAUGAUACUGAAGAACUCGGAAGCAUCCAACUCGUACUGCGGUGUGGCAGAGCGGCGGUGGCUGCUUCCCCCCAUCUCUGAUAAGCAGCAGAAGAGACCAAUUAGUACCCUUACAACAGAUCAUAAAAAAUGCAUGAAAAUAACCACUCUAUAUCAAGUUUAUCCAAGCAAAAUCUCUCAUUGUGAAAGCAGUGGGCAAAGUAACAGAGAGUAAGCUAGACAACAAGCACAACAAAUAAAAAGAAACAGGAAUGAUAAUAGGCUGUACUAAAAGUCCAAUUGUACUGGACUAUAAAUUAGGGUAACAAUGACACAGAAGAUGGGAGCACCUAGUACACAUUAGCAAUACAAAAAGGUACUACGCUUAAAAGGAAAGACCCAUACAAACACCUCAUAUUAAUAAGGUUGCUUGAACAAGUGUUAUCUAUCACUACAUUUGGGUAUUCGCACUAACAAUUCAAAAGACCAAAUGCUAACAAGGCAAUCAACUAACUUGUUCAGUUACAAAGUAAGCUCAUUUGCAGCCCCAUCAUGAUAACCACAAACAGGAAUGUCCACAGACAAACCUUUGGUUAAACAAGGUAUGUAUGGUCUCAGUUCAUCUCUCAAUUCACCAACAUGACUGAUAGGCAUGUUAAUACAUCUACCAUAUAAACCUUUGGUUCAGAAAAAGUAUGCAAACAACAUUGCAACCGAUGAUAUCAAAAUCAUAGUGCCAUUCUAAACCAAUAGCACAUUUGAUUCAAGGUAUGAGGUGGGUCAGCCAAACCCUUUUUUUUGGAACAAAGGCUGGGUAAACUAAACCUGACCAAAGCAUUAACCCUGCAAACUAGGAUUGAAACGACCAACCAAAAAGGUUGAAUUAGCUGGUCCCGAGGAAUUAGUGUUCUAAAUUCCAAUUUUGUAGUGCUGACUAGCUUAGCAAGCAAUAACUUAAGCUAAUGAUGUUACUUCCGAAGCAUAAAAUGAAAGCAAACCCAGUUAUCUAACUCGAAUCAAACGCAACCUAAGUGAGCAGCACAAAAUUCACCGACACUAAGAAACCGUGGUUAGAUCGAUACAAAGUACUACAUCUUGACCCAUGGGUGAGCCUUUUCUUGUUCUCGUUUUUCUUUCUUCUCCUUCCUCCUCCUCCUCUUCUCCUUCUUCCUUUCUUGUUCUGUUUUUCAACUUUCUUCUUAUUCUUCUUCCUUUUUUUCCUUUUCCCUCUUCUUCUACUUCUUCUUCUUUUUUUCAACUUUCUUAUUCUUCUAAUUAUCUAAACCUAAAUCUAGCACUAACCUAAACCAACCACUAACCUAAACCUAUCAAUAACCUAAUUAAACCUAAAUAGCAAGGGGGUGGUGGUGGUGAAAGUGCUCACCUUGGCUCCGGGGGCAGGGGGUGGUGGUGGACGGACGCGGUUAGGGCAGCGGCGGCGGGCCUGGCUCCGGGGGGCGCGAGGCGGACANNNNNNNNNNNNNNNNNNNNNNNNNNNNNNNNNNNNNNNNNNNNNNNNNNNNNNNNNNNNNNNNNNNNNNNNNNNNNNNNNNNNNNNNNNNNNNNNNNNNNNNNNNNNNNNNNNNNNNNNNNNNNNNNNNNNNNNNNNNNNNNNNNNNNNNNNNNNNNNNNNNNNNNNNNNNNNNNNNNNNNNNNNNNNNNNNNNNNNNNNNNNNNNNNNNNNNNNNNNNNNNNNNNNNNNNNNNNNNNNNNNNNNNNNNNNNNNNNNNNNNNNNNNNNNNNNNNNNNNNNNNNNNNNNNNNNNNNNNNNNNNNNNNNNNNNNNNNNNNNNNNNNNNNNNNNNNNNNNNNNNNNNNNNNNNNNNNNNNNNNNNNNNNNNNNNNNNNNNNNNNNNNNNNNNNNNNNNNNNNNNNNNNNNNNNNNNNNNNNNNNNNNNNNNNNNNNNNNNNNNNNNNNNNNNNNNNNNNNNNNNNNNNNNNNNNNNNNNNNGUGGCGGCGGCGGGUGGUUGGGAUGGUGGGGCGACGGGGCGAGGGGAGGUGGGGCAAUGGGGCGGCGAGGGGAGGGGGGCAACGGGGCGAGGGGAGGUGGGGCUCGGCAUUACUAACAUUUUUUUUCAAAACUACUAAUGGCGCACGGUGGGUGUGGUGCGUCAUUACUAUGUCAACUAGUAAUGACGCACUAUACAACGGUGCGCCACUAUUAACAAUUUGUUUUCAAAACUACUAAUGGCGCACCACGCACCAGGUGCGCCAUUAGUAAUAUAUUACUAAUGGCGCACCAACAUAUGGUGCGUCAUUAGUAUAUAGUAAUGGCGCACCACAUGUCUGGUGCGCCAUUAGUGGCCAUAUCAUCUAUAGCCCUUUUCCUAGUAGUGUGGCGUCGCUUCCAACAGCCCACUACCCAUGGCACAUGCGUAUACCGGUAUACGCUCGAUCCCUUCGCACGCAAAUCGAUCCAUCUCCGUUCCCCUAAUCUCCUGCAAGUUUGUAAGAAAGUAGCGAUCCAUCUUCCCAAUCCCAGAUUUUUCUGCACUAAAAAAAAGAAAUCGGUGUAAGGGAAUAGCAUAGAUGGUGCUCCCAAUGGCUCCUGUACGGACAGCCCCUGCGGGCGUCCCUGGCGGGGCGGCCAUUCCGCGCCUAGCCUCGCUUCCGGUGACCACGGCGCUGGCGCUCUGGCCUCGGUGGGAGGCUGGUCGGCGGCUGCCUUGACGGCGUCCAGGCGGGCGGCCGGCCCUUCCCAGGGCGCGGCAAGGUGGUCGGGGAGCCGAUUCUAGGCUCUGGCAGAUGAGGACUCUGGUGGCGAAGAGGAGGUUGAGGUGUGUAACGAGGCGGGGUCAGAGGUGGGAGGCCGUGCGGCUUGCUCCAUUGGUGACUUUGUGUCGCGCACGGAGGAGCUUGGGGGCUCCUUCAAGGCCGGGCACCGGCGUGCUUUUGCGCCCGGAGUACGUGGUUCAAGGCGGACCAUGCUGGCCGCGGGCAGGGUGCCGCGCGCAACUCCUGGGCGUGAGGGCCGUGGCAGCCCUGACGCCUCCGACGCGGGUCUGCUCCUGUGGCCUGCACUGGGCCAACUCUGCACGGUGCAGGCGGCUCCCCUGGCCGCGGCGGCGGCGUAGGCGGAACCUGGUGCUGUGCGACCUAGGGUUGGGGAUGACCCGCCUGGGGCUGUGCUGGGCCAGGCCGCUAGGGUCACAGGCGGCCCAACUACGAGGCCAACGCGUGCGGCGGCCGAGUCUCGUGCAGAGCCAGUGGCGCAGGGGGCCUCGCCCGUUCUUGGGGCCCAGCCCGGCCCAUGGGUGGAAACCCAGCCCACGCCUAUCCGUGUCGCGCAGCCAUAUAAAUGGCUCUGGCUUCCCCGUGGAACCCUAAACAUCUCACUAGGGUUUCCGGCCUCCAAAUCGAAGGUGCGGCGCUUCGGCCACUCCGCUCGCUUUCUCUCACCCACUCCUUCCCCUCCUCCUUUGCUGCGCUCUUUCGUGGAAGUGGUGGCGAUGGGAUCCAAGCAAGACCGUCGGCAGGAGAAGCCGCCCAUGGAGCCUCCGCGGGACCGCAACCGCGGGCGGGCCAAAGACGAGGGAGGAUGGGGGCCGCCGCCCGCAUGGUGGCUCAAGGAGCAGGAAAGAAAGAAGAAGUAGAACAAGAAGGAAGAGUACAAGAAGAGAGGGCUCGAUCUCAAGAGCAAGGAGCAGCAGGCAUCUCAGGGCGGCAACCGCGUCGGCGACUCUCAUGCGAAGAAGCAGAAGUCCAAGUCUGUGGGGGCGGCGGCUUCCAAACCGCCCCUACCGCCCAGAUCUGAGGCGCCUGGCUCGUCCAAGGGCACGGAGGAGGAGCCGAUCCCCAUCGAAGAAGCCGACGGCCCGGAGUGCUUCAAAUGCGGUCGCACAUGCCACUUCUAGAACCUGUGCACCUUCCAGCCGUUGUGCAUGGUGUGCAACAAGGAGGGGCACACUUCGGCGCAGUGCCCAACCCGCGGCAAGCCCCUGCUCCUCGAAACCAUGGGGCACGCCAUCUCCGGCGAGGGCUUCUUCUGCCUCCAGUACUCGGAAGAUGCGCGGGAGGAGCCACAGAUCCUGCUGGGGGCCAACACGGCGGUGCUUUCCAUGCCUUUCGGUGCGCUCUCGCAGGAGAUCUUGGAAGUACAGCUGUCGCUCCUAUUUGAGGGAGCUUGGGAUUGGCAGAUCUCUCCUCUUGAAGGCGGCGCGUUCUCGGUGGUGUUCCUAGAUCCAGCGAUGCUCAGGAUGGCUACACGGAGCGGCAAGCUUUUCCUCUCCCUCAACAAUCUCAUGGUGGAUAUCCGUGAUGCGGCCCUCGACGCGCCCAAGGGAUUGGAGAUGCCGGAGGUCUGGGUCAAGCUGGGCGGCAUCCCACCCAAGCAGAGGUGUUCCGACCGGCUCAUGGCGGCCACCACUAUGCUCGGCAGACCCCUGCUGGUCGAUGAGGAGUCGUUGAUCCGUCCGGGGCCGGUCCGCAUGCGUUUCGCCUGCCUCAACCCAUGCAAGCUCCGCGGUCUGGUUCAGAUUUGGUUCAACGGCGAAGGCUUCAACAUCUCCGUCGAGCCCGAGCUUCCCCGGAGCAACUCGCGGCGCCCGCCCUCCCUUCCCCACCCCCUCCUCCUCCCAACCAUGGCAAGGACCCAGAUGGGAUGGGGCGUGAUGGUGACAAGGACGGGGACAAGGAGCUUGAUGCUAGCAUGGAGGACGACUCCAUCGAUACAACGGCAUGGGAGAAGCUGGGCAUCACCGACAAAGGCGGGGCGACGACUCGUGUGUGCAGUAGCCUAUGAUGGAGCAGUCACUUGCGGGAGGGUCGUCGGAGAGGGAGCUCUCAAUCCCGAACCAGUACGGCUCCAACCUGGGGUCGGUCACGUCCCCCCCGGUGAGGAUGGAGGCGGCGGUGGUCUCAGACCAGAUGGAGGAGCUGCUGGACGAUGUGCGCACCCAUAUUGCGGUGUCUGCGGACUCGCUGCUGCUGCCUCUCUCAUUGCGCCUCCGACCCAAGGCGGCCGCAGCAGCAACAAGCUCGGCGCGGUGAAGCAGCUCAAGAAGAUGGCGGUGCGCAAGGUUAGCGCGGAGGUCGGGCGUGCAACGGAGCUCUUAGUGGCCUCGGCGACGCCGUGCCAGGCGUUGAUGGCUCUGGCAGUGCUUGCCCCCGCCCCGCUCGUUCAGGAGACGUCCAAGACGGCGCCCUCCCCAAAGGCCAAGUGCUCCAAGGCCGUGGUGGAGGGGCUGGUGGCUCCAGUGCGGGUCAGUGCGCGUGCCAAGGGCGCCAAAGGAAACAUGUCGUCGCUCCAGCGCGCCCAACUCCUUCCAGCACAGAAGAUCCUGGAAACCUCAGGUAACCCCUUGCCUCGUUUUUCUGGACUCCUUUUCGGACGAUCAUUUGAGUGAGGUAUUGGGGGAGAGUGGGGUGGAACCGACUGGAGAGGGAGAUGGCGCAGGCGGCGCUGGCAGCGGCUGCUGCUCAACACGUGGAUCGUCUGGCAGUGGAGGCUGAGCCCUCGACGUCGCUAGCGAUCCGGCCCGAUGGGGAUACAGCAACAGGGGUUGCUGCUCCUCCCUCGCCUCGCUGUGGCAAGGUGAGUCGCGUGGCCAAGGCGAUCACCUCCAGGGGGGUGCGCCUGCGAAACCGCGUCAUUUAGAUGUGUGCGCUUCUAUGGAACAUUUCGUGGCUUCGGCCACUCGGGUCGGCGCAUCCAAUUGAGGGAUUACAUUAGGAAGAAGCUAUAGAUAUCGUAGGGCUCCAGGAAACGAUUAAAUCAGAGUUUCAGCAUCAAGAUAUCUUAGCUAUUGAUCCCCUCGAGCGCUUUGUUUGGCACCAUAGCCCGGCAAAUGGCCAUUCGGGUGGCAUGCUGCUAGGAUUCUACAGCGCCAUGUUCGAGGUACUAACCUGGGAGGUUGGCACUUUCUUCAUUGCGGCCAACAUCCGCGUGCGUGCGUCACUUCGCGAGCUCAUGAUCGUGCAAGUCUAUGGACCAGCAGAUCACUCACGCUCGACCGAGUUCUUGGGAGAACUCGAAGCCAAGGUGAUUGCGGUAUCUGUAGCACAGAUCCCUCUAAUGGUGGGUGGUGACUUUAACCUGAUUCAUUCGAGGGCAGAUAAAAACAACGACAACAUCAAUUGGCCAAGGGUGGCCAUGUUCAACAACACGAUUGCGUCUAUGGAACUUAGGGAAGUGGCUAGAACAAGGGCGAGGUAUACUUGGACGAACAAGCAACUAGCCCCGGUGCGAUCCGUCCUGGAUCGUGCAUUCGUGUCUCCGGACUGGGAAGUGGUGUUUCCCUUAUGUUCGCUCCUUGCUGAAACAAGGAUCGGAUCGGACCAUGUUUCCCUCAUCUUAUCUUCCGGGGAAGAUAGGAUUCACUGCAGCCCGCGUUUCUUCUUUGAAACCGCGUGGUUUGAGGUUCCUGACUUUGACACCAUCUUUAGGGAGAGAUGGAUGCGAUGUGCCCAACUCACAGGCCAGCAACGCGGCCCAAUGGCGUUUUGGAUCGCUGUUGGGUGUCGCCUCUGCGCAAGCCUAAAGAGGUGGGGCGCGAACCAGGGGUGUGACGACAAGGUCCUCAGGGCGAGGCUCCUUGGUGAAAUAGCACUCCUCGACAACCAAGCGGACACGCGACCAUUCUCUGAGCAAGAAUGGGCGCAGCGAUAUGCCUUGGAAGGGCAAGUCGAAGCUCUGCUACGAUCGGAGGAGGAAUAUUGGAGGCGUAGGGGAGGCCUCAAGUGGACGCUCAAAGGCGAUGCGAACACCAAGUAUUUCCAUGCAUAUGCGAACGGCUGGCAGAGGAAAUGCUCAAUUCUUAGGUUGCGGACGGAGCAGGGGCUUCUUCUACAGCAAUCGGAGAUUACCCAACAUAUCUACGACUUUUAUAUUAGUCCGAUGGGGACCGACAAGGCUCAACGAGCGCGUCUGCGAGCGGCCGUCUGGCUCCCGUCUCAACAGGUCCUAGAUAGCGAGAACGAAGAGUUGGGGCUCGCGUUUCUCCCUAAGGAGAUAGACGAUGGACUCCUUAGCAUGAAAUCAGAAACGGCCCCGGGGCCGGAUGGGUGGCUGGUGGCGAUGUUUAAACAUUUUUGGCCAUUGUUGUGCGAUCCCAUAUACGAUGUGUGUAACGGCUUCAUGUGUGGUUUCAUGGACAUCGCUAGGCUAAACUACGGUGUGCUCUCGUUAAUCCCGAAAGUGUCUGGGCGGACAACAUUCGCCAGUACAGACCCAUCGCGCUCAUUAACGUUCCGUUUAAAAUCUGUGCCAAAGGCUACGCCACACGGCUCACGCUGAUCGUACAUCGCACCAUAAGGCGUUCCCAAUCGGCGUUCAUACGUGGUAGAAACAUUUUGGAGGGGGCGUUAGCUUUGCAAGAGACCCUUCACGAGCUUAAGCGCACGCACGAACCUGCGAUCCUCCUCAAAUUAGAUUUCAAGAAGGCUUACGACCGCGUCAAUUGGGAUUUCCUCCGUCAGAUCCUCACCAGUCGAGGCUUCUCGUUGGUGUGGGUGCAUCGAGUCAUGCAAUUGGUCUCGGGGGGCGAAACUGCGGUCUCGGUGAAUGGAGAAGUAGGGCACUUCUCCAGGAACAAGCGCAGCUUGCACCAAGGCGAUCCCAUGUCACCUCUCUUGUUCAAUUUUGUCGCCAACGCGUUGGCAGCUAUGCUGCGGAAAGCCGCGGAGGCAGGGCACAUAAAAGGGGUGUUGGGACACCUCAUCCCAGGGGGCAUAUCCCACUUGCAAUACGCGGACGAUACGUUAUUGUUGUUCCAACCCGACCUCCAUAGUGUGGCUACGGUCAAAGCCUUGCUAAUUAGCUUCGAACUCAUGUCGGGACUUAAAAUUGACUUCCACAAGUGUGAAGUGAUGCCUAUGGGCAUGGAAGCGCAUGAAGGUAGGCGUAUUGCGGAUCUGCUCAAUUGCAAACUAGGCAAACUCCCGUUUACCAACCUGGGACUCCCGUUGAACGCCAAACGCAUCACGAUCGAUGGGUGGGCUCCCCUCUGGACCAAGGUGGGAGGGCGGGUAUGUCCGUGGAGGGGGAAGUCCUAUCCUCUACGGCUAGGUUGGUGCUCACGAACACGAGCCUCUCCUCACUGCCGCAAUUUGCUAUGCGUCUGUUCCUCCUGGCAGAUGGGGUUCAUGCCAAGAUGGACACACCUCGGUCUCAUUUCUUUUGUGAAGGAUCGGGACCCAAACGCAAGUACCACAUGGUUAAAUGGGCUGCGGUGUGCCGUCCCAAAGCCAGGGAGGGCUAGGGAUCACAAACACCACAAUCUUAAACUAGGCAAGUUUUCGGUCAAGUCACUUUACCGUAAGUUGUGUCAGGGCCAGUCCUUCCAGGUGCCAAAGGGCUUGUGGAACUCGCGUCUCCCGCUUAAGAUUAAGGUGUUCUUUUGGCAACUGUUUCGUAACAGACUGCCCACUUCGGCUAACGUUGCCAAACGCAAUGGCCCGUCGACCGGCCUAUGUGCGAUAUGUAAAGUCACGGAGGACACGAACCACGUAUUCUUCCGCUGUCCGCUGGCAUGUUUUGCUUGGAGUGUCGUUCGUGCAGCGGCCAAUACCUCCUGGGACCCUCGGUCGGCCUCCGACCUCGCGGCCAUAGUAGACUCUAUUCAAGGAGGAAACAAUCGUGUGCUUUGGAGUUGCAUCGGAGCCUUGGCCUGGGCUCUCUGGCUCACUAGGAACAAACUAGCGAUCGAGGGUAUCUUCCCAACCCACCUUGCUAACAUAAUCUACAAAUGCAACCUUUUCCUGCAGCAGUGGAGUCCCUUGGCGAGGCGCAAGGAUGCUGAGAAACUGAAGCAAGCUCAAGAACGUCUGCGUCAUGUCUACAUUUUGGCUAGGGAGCCAUCCGCCACUUCUAUGCCGUGAAGUGGCCCUUUUGUCACGCGAGCGAGCCUGCGUGCUCUAUGCUCUGGCUUCGGGCCUUGUAAUUGCAUCGCUGCGUGCUUCUUUUGGCCUGUUUUAAACUCUUGUGACUCCGCGUCGGCGGGGCCUGAGCCUCCGUGCUCGUGUUCGAUGUUCUAAGACUCUGUUUGUUACGCUGCCUAAGUUGUGGGCUUUAUUAAUUUAAAGCCGGACACGUCUAGCGUCUUCGUUCUAAAAAAAAUGUUGAUCCGUCUCAUCUUCUCUUGUAUUCUAUCCCGAGCAAGCGAGGAGAGCAAAUCGAUGUGCAGCGGUGGCGGGGAUUGAUUGAUCGAAUCGAUCCGUUCAUGAUAGGUGGGCGGCCGACAAACGCGUACCCGAAGCAACGGCAAUUGGCAGGCCGCAGACUGCGAUCGACGACUGACGCUGCCGCCUGCCGUGCCAGCGUGACCGCGAGGAGUCAUGGCCACCUCGCACGACGGAAUUUCUCUUCUCCUUGUUAGCUAAUUAGUACUAACUUGUUUUUGAAUUUUUCAUUUAGAUUACAGUCAUUACUUGAAUUUUUGGUGUUGUUUCUUCUAUAUAUGUUUUCACAAGUCGCAACAAUUGUAUGGAUAAAAUUGGGGCUAGUAUGUAAAACCUUAUUAAAAUAUAUUUAAAUGUAUGUCUUUUGGCAAAACAUGGGGCAUCAACUAUUGUUUUCAGUUGUAACUAGGUAUACUUCAUUGGCUUACAAUUUUGAUUUAUCAUUUUUAUUUUUAAUUGUUAAAUGCAGAUAAUAUGGAGAAGUUUCUUCUCAAAAGAAAGGCACCAUCACAUUCGCAAUUAGGUAUCCAUGACAUCGUUUUCAAGUAAUUUUGUCGCACUAUAUUAAGCAGUUUGACUAUUGCCUUUUGUUUUCAUAAAUUGAUGUCUAUUAUAUUUGAUAAUUCAUGUUACAAGUUGUCAAACACAUCUUUAUUAGUCAAUUGUUGCUUGAAAAUUUUAGCGUCGUGGUUAAGUAGUGGAUCAGGGUAACAUUAGCUCCAGAUCCGCCCCUGAUUAUUAUAGCUUUGUAAUUCUCUCCGAUCUAUCCAUUUGGUUUGGCCAACUAGAUUAAUUUAUCUUCAAUGGGAGAGGUGCUUUGUAAUGGGUUCAAUCUUGCGGUGCUCUAUAUCCUAGUAACAUAGUAGGGGAUAAGACACGUAUUUGUAUUAUUGUCACUAAGGGUAAAACGACGGGGUUUAUUCAUAUUGAUUGGCUUUACUUUGUCUACAUCAUGUCAUCUUACUUACGGUGUUACUUUUUUUUAUAAACUUAAUACCAUAUAUGCAUAUUCUGGAUAGCGGUUGAUUGGUGGAGUAGUAGUAGUUAGUGCAAGCACGAGUCCGCGGCGACGCAAACACAGCAAAACUUGGGUCCGAAAUGAGUGGCAGACGGACGAUGAGCCAUGAUUUCUGUUUGUUUCCACCCAAAUGGACGUGAGCGGAUCAAAUGGAUGGGCGCGUUGAAGUUAGCCUAACUAACUAGUCACUAAUUAAUCAUGGAUACUGCUUCCUCUCUCUCGACUUGGGCAACAUUGAAAAUAUUGUACAUCAACUACAGUAACGGUUGACCAAGUGCUUUCGUCAAAAUGUCCUCCACUUGUUCUUGGAGGAGAUGAACUUCCAAAGGCGACUUAAGCCUAGUUGGUUAGUUUAAUCUCUGACCAUCCACUUGAGAUGCUUCUUUUUAGAAGCGUAAUCCACUUGUGAGACACUAAUGGACGCUUGAUGCUUCUAAUAGAGUAAGCAACUUAUAUAUAAGCCUAUCACGUCUCGUUUACUUUCCUUGUUUGCCUUUUCCGCUUAAUUUCUUUGAUGGGAGCUGGUUUCCGGCUCCAUCUUUUCUGCCAAACAAAAAUUGUAGCAGAAGUAAACGAGGGUUCACAAGUUGCUUUGUCAUAACAGUUUGGUAUCUUAUAGAACUAUUCAAACAACCACUCUCAUUCGAAACAAGACAAAGAUAUAGUGCUCCAAUUACAAGAAUGGUUGAUCGAAUUGCUACCUGCUAGUGGGACUUGGUCAAAAUAUCCACCACUAGAUCUGGGAGGAGAUGAACAAGAGCAUCUUCCAAAUGACUUGCUCAAUAAUGCGCAUCCAUUUUGCAUAAAACACCAAAUUUACUGCAUGCAUAGGAAGAAAUGCAGGCUAUUAUUGGUGCCUUUAUCAACAAAUGGUUGUUCAAUAUCCUCAACAAAUUUUGCUUGUAGUCUUAAAAGAAAGUUUUGUGCGAUGAUACCAUCAACAGAUAAGAGAAUGUAAAGAAGAAUGUUGCAAUUCGGGUAAAUUACUAGGAGUAGUUGUCAACACAAGCAUUUGCAUGGGCUGAACUACUAUAAUGCUUUUAAUUAAUAACUAACUUGGACCAUAUAGACUACAUAACUUUUAUGUUUUACGGAAAUGGUUUCGCUAUCUUUGGAAUAUAGCUUCUUACAUUAUAAUAUAUCUCAUCUUCCUUAGUAGAGUUAGCAUGAUAUUGCAAUAUCUUCUGUUGUAGGAUAGUUAUUGCUUUAAAAUUAAUUCUUGACUUAUUAUUUCUCUAAAAAUGUGUCCUAAAAUUGGAUCAAACAUGUAAUUAGGUAUUAAUAUUACCAAUCUAUCGAGAAAUUUUUUAUCAAAAAAAUAAGCUAUUGAGACAUUUAGCUUGAAAAUUAGACAUGAAAACAUCACAUACUUGUUCAGCUUUACAUCACAAUCUUGUUAAUUGACAGUACAAACUUUUUUCCAUGAACUAUGUACAAUUAUAGUCAUAUAUAGCAUAAAAAUAAUCUGAUAUGAAAUAUGUUUCCGUGUUAAGUUGUUUUUGCAUGGAUACCAUAGUCUUGUACAUCAAUGAAAAAAAUUUGAUUUCUUGAUCAAUGUUAUAGCUUCUAUUUAAAACAUUGUGACGGUUGUUAUUGGAUGCAUAUCAGUUAUCUACAUCUUAAGUUUAGGUCUAAUAAUAAUCCUAUAAUAAAUUGUUAGUGUGGAUUAGUCGGUGCCCAGUCUUUUGUGGUAAUUUACCAAACUUAUCCAACAGAAAUGCCAUGGCUUUUGCUUUUUCAAAUGGCAUAAAUAAAAGUUACAUGCAACCAUUCCUGGCAAAAGGCUACUCAAUGUCUAUCAUUUUACUAGUAUAAUUUACCCAAAAAGAAAAAAUAAUUUACCCGACCCAACUAUAUUAUCCCCCAAAAAAAAACUAUAUUAGCCCCAAGUAGAAAACAAGAAGUACCCAUGAAAAAUAAUGAUUAUACACAUGAAUUCUCCGCGUUCAUGUAUAGUUUAGUUAGUUCUUGCAUUUUGGAUGAUGUAUUCUAGCUGUUAACAAUCUUCAUGAACGGUGUGUCCAAAAAGAAUCCCCAUUAUUCCAUUGUAGCUUCCUCUGCAGAAUUGUCCACCUUCAUUAUUUCUAUCAGUCGAUUAUGUUUCAACACACCUAAUUCGCAACCAAUUAUUCAAAGAAUGCAAACCCAUUGACUUACCUAUGUUUCUCUUUGACAUGUCCUACAUAAGGCACGAAUAAUAAACAUCUGAUAAUAUGGGAUAUUAAUUACAACUACAUAGAAAAACACGGUAGUAGCACCCCGCAAAAAAAACAUGGUAGUCGUAAAUUAUGUUCACGUUUAUCAUGUACAGUUUUUUCACUCUAUAGAGAAUGUUAAUGCUCAGAAAGUCUAAGGCUCUACACUUUUCUAUCUCUAGAAUUUUUGCAGUGGUUAACCGAUCGAGUAUCUUUUUCGAUUGACUGAAGGGAAAUUUGGUCUAAAUGAGAUCUUAAUGUUCAUUUACCUUGUGUGACGUGAUUAUUGGAUUAAUGGCCUGAACAUGUUUAUUUGUGUCGAAGCUGGUUGCUUGGUUUGAUGUUCUGUACGAAGAAGACACAUUCAUGGGUUUAUAGACUACUGGUCGACGUAGACCUAUUCUACACUGCCACAUAAACAAGCCCAACUAACUCCAUCUUCAAGGAGUAAGGACAGAAGAAACAGCUUAAUUGUUCCAUAUAUUUAACAAAUACUACUCAGACAACCCAUACAUCUCUCAACUGGACGAAGAUUGAAAAAUUGUAGUGCACCAAUUGCAUGGAAUGGUUGAGUCCGUCAAAGUUCCCAGCACUUGACAGUGUGAGGGGAUGAACUCAACCUAUAGGCAUUCAUUCUUGUGUAUACGUGGACCCUAACUAACUAGUCACUAAUUAAUUAAGUCUAGAUGGUGCUUUCUCUCUCAACACGGGCAACAUUGAAAAUAUUGUAUAGAUCAAGUGCUUUGGUCAAAAUGUCUACCACUUGCUCCUGGAGGGGAUGAACUUCCAAAGGCUACUUAGCCUAGUUGGUUUAGUUCAAUUUAUGACCAUCCACUUGAGAUAAUAGUAGAAGCAUCAUGCUUCUAAUAGAGUAAGCAACCUACAUACAAGCAUAUCAUGUCUCAUUUACUUUCUCUCUUUGUACUUUCUUGCAUGGUUUCUUUAAUGGGACCUGGUUGUCGGCACCCUACAUCUGUUCUGCACAAAAAAGAAUUGUAGCGGAGGGAAAAAGAAUUCACAAAUUGCUUUGUCACAACAGUUUGAUAUCUUAUACAACUAUUCAAACAACCUCUCCCAUUUGGAACAAGACAGAUAUUGUGCUCCAGUUACAAGAAUGGUCAAUCGAGUUGCUACCUGUUAGUGGGGCUUCAUCAAAAUUGGGAGGAGAUGAACUAUAGCAUCUUAAAAAUAACUGGCUCUAUAUGGAUGUCCAAUUUUUUUGCAGCACUUUGCUUCUCCUUUUCUUCACCCUCCAUUGUUGACGCAUUCUUGAGAAGACUCGAUGACGUGAUGUCCAUAUCGUUAUCCCUGUCUUAAUGUAAACCUGCAUCCCCUAAGGGUCGUUUAUGGGGCAAACUACCCGUGCCAGUCCGGCUGCCACCACGGCCAAGUCCAUGCCCCCUCUGAACGACGUGCCCCUUGGACAAGUAGAAAAACCACCAGGGUUACCACUCUGGACACUAGGGAAAACCCUUCUUACUGCCACCAUUCAGUCCCCAUACUCUAUAUCAUCUCGUGCAUGGACUCCAGCCGCAUUCUUCCAGAUUAUGACCAAGGAUGCCGCAAACUCCACAAAAGUAACCAAUCUUCUCAUACUUCGCUAGCAUGAAAAUGCUCUCCUAUCCAUUGAGAUUCAAAGGUGUAACCGUGACCAGAGGCUUUGCCACUUCAAUUUUACCCCUGACACGAACAUCAUUGCACUGAAAGACCCUAGUUCGGUUCAUCGUGAGACUUAGCAAGACUGAUUAAUUAAUAUGCGUGCAUGCUACCUAAUGUUAAUUAGAACAUUAAGUGCAAUCAUCAUUCCACACUGGAUAUUUUCAGGCACCUUAAACCUGUUGCAUGCCAUCUCAUUCACUCAGUUGUGCCGCGACAUCUUAAACCUGCGCUAGUCAUCCAACCCAUGGGGUCCUAACCACUCUGGAUAUUUUCCUUUGGAACAUCUUCAAAAUUUCUUACAUUAUCAUGGGGAAAUUUCGGCAAUUGGCAUGUAGAAUAAAGAUGAUAAUAUGUAGAACAAAAAUUAAGCCUCGUAAUGUGCUAUACUAGGCCGGUUUAUCUUGACUUGGUAUUCUCCUACGAGUACUUUACAAGAGAGAGUGGUUUAGACUUGGUCACUUAGAUCUCUCUCCACCAAUGGAUGAAAGGGUAAGACUUGACGAUGACCAAGCAUAGAAAAGUUUAUAUUUAGAUGCUUUUCAUGAGGGGAAUGUCUAAGUAACAUAUGCCACUCAUAAUGAAUAAGACAAUUGUAGUACUGUUAGUGAUGCAAUCACUAGUAGAAAACAGCGCUUUUAUUCGGCAGAAAAGAGCAUUAAUCCCGGUUGCGUUACGAACCGAGACUAAUGUGAGCAUUAGUCCAGUUCGAGCGGCCAGGGCACUGUACAGGCAUUACUCCCGGUCCAAAUGGGACCUUUAGUCCCGGUUGGUGCCACGAACCGGUACUAAAGGUCUAACCUUUAGUACCGGUUCGUGCCACGAACCGAUACUAAUGGGGUUGAGACCUUUAGUGCCGGUUCGUGCGACGAACCGGUACUAAUGGUGCAAUUUUNNNNNNNNNNNNNNNNNNNNNNNNNNNNNNNNNNNNNNNNNNNNNNNNNNNNNNNNNNNNNNNNNNNNNNNNNNNNNNNNNNNNNNNNNNNNNNNNNNNNNNNNNNNNNNNNNNNNNNNNNNNNNNNNNNNNNNNNNNNNNNNNNNNNNNNNNNNNNNNNNNNNNNNNNNNNNNNNNNNNNNNNNNNNNNNNNNNNNNNNNNNNNNNNNNNNNNNNNNNNNNNNNNNNNNNNNNNNNNNNNNNNNNNNNNNNNNNNNNNNNNNNNNNNNNNNNNNNNNNNNNNNNNNNNNNNNNNNNNNNNNNNNNNNNNNNNNNAAGAAAAUGAUAAAAACUUCAAAAGUUAAAAUCCUUCGAGAUGUAGUUAUGUUACCACAUCUACUAGUUAGAAAAAAUUAAAAACUUCAAUUUGGGCAUCUUUUGCAAAAAGUGCAGGGAAAAUGUAAAACGGCUAUAACUUUUGCAUACGAUGUUAGAAAAAACAUAUAAUAUAUCAAAAUGUUCAGCACGAAAAUCCGCAUCCAAUUUUGACGGCCUAUGGCCUGUUUGCAAAAAUUUAGAAUCCUCAAAUUCUAAAAGGAAAAAAAGUUAUGCUCAAAUUUCAGUUUUUUUUGAUUUUUUGUUAAAUCUAAUCAAACUAUGGUCAAACUACUUAUUCAAAAAGUAUUAGUGUUAAUAAAUAAUUAUUCAAGAAUAUUAGUGUUACUAAAUAAUUAUUUCUGGUUUUUUGAAUUUUGGUCAAAUCUGGUCAAAUUGUGGUCAAACUAUGGUCAAGCUAUGGUCAAACAAUGGCCAAACUACUUAUUCAAGAAAUAUUAGUGUUACUAAAUAAUUAUUUCAGUUUUUUAGAAUUUUGGUCAAAUUUGGUCAAACUAUGGUCAAACUACUUAUUCAAGAAAUAUUAGUGUUACUAAAUAAUUAUUGUUUUUUAGAACAAUAAUUUCAAACUCAAACAGUGAAAUGUGUGACUUCAUGCUCAAGCUAAAUUCCUGAGGGUUAAUAGGAUUGACAUCUUAUUAUUGUUAGGAAAACAACGAGUGCAGACUUCGAAACGAGGGAGAAUAGAACCCGGAAGUUAAGCGUGCUCAGGCUGGAGUAAUGAGAGGAUGGGUGACCGUCCGGGAAGUUAGGUUAUUUGGAAUGAUGAGGGGUGAUUAGAGAUUAGAGGUUAAAUUGAACAGUGAUGAGGAGUGAUUAGAGAUUAGAGGUUAAAUUGAACAGUGAUGAGGGGUGAUUAGAGAUUAGAGGUUAAAAUAAUUCAGAACUUUGAAAAUAAAAAAAAAUCAUGAAAUUUUCUGCAGUAAAGGCCCUUAUGAACCGGAACUAAAGGCCCUUUUUCUACUAGUGAAUUCCAGAGACAACACCUCAAGCGAUAGGGAAAAAAUGCCUGACACACCUCAGCGGUGCCUCCAAGGAGGAGAACGGUACCCAUGGGCGUCGUUGCCGCCCGCCCCAUCCGAAGAAAGGCAGGAUUUUCAUCUCCAAUGUCGUGUACCUCCCACCCAUCCCAUAGGAGUAUGAUCAUACUGUCCAUGAUGGGUCACGCCGCCUUCGCCGCAGCACCUCGCAAACGUACCCGAACCGUCACGGAUCACCAAAACCCGGCACGGCCAAGGACACGCGGUUCAUCUCCACCUCCUCCCCGGGCCAAGAACAAGCAGCCCCUUUAGUCCUCCCCAUCAUCGAACACCAGCACCACGAGCAACAAGUCCCGGCACUCCAGGCGUACAAGCCCAUCGCAGACAUGGCCCUGGGACCCAGACCGGAUCUGGUCAGCGUCAUCGCCACCCACACCUGCAGCACUGCUUCGUACAACAACUCCGGCAUCGCCCGCAACCCAAAGGCACGACUGCAGAGCAGGAACCACCCGGCCGCCGCACGCGCAACAUCUUCUGGCCGAGCUCCACCUCCCUCUACAACCUCAGGCAAACCAUGCCGACACUUACACCAUCGCCCGUCGGAGAACCACCACGCGCCGACCACACCUCUGCAAGCUCUGGACCCGGCUCCGCCCCACCACCGCGAUCCCCACCGCGUGCCACCAGGAAGCCUCCCCGUGCUGCCCCUUGACGCGGCUCCCGCUCGCAAGGAGCUCCGUUCGGCCGCGCCAUCCACACCCUUUGCCUUUGACGAACGGGUGCCGCCACCACCGACGGUAGCGGCAGUGACGGACAGAGGAGCACCGGGAAGAGGGCACACUGGGGGCUAGGAUUUUCCCAUCCGAAGCCGCCCGCGCGAGCGGCUCGGGAGGGAGAGGGGAAAGUUUGAUUUCCUUCAACGGGGCUUUCCAGCUACAACCCCCUCCCUUUUCAAUAAAGAGUAACAAAAAACUGACAAAUUGAUGCACAAGAUUUUUUGUUGUGGUUGCUAUUUUGGGCUUUCGGGGAUGACUAAACACCAAAGUUAUGCUCAAUGAACACCUCACCACGGCUGCCUCAUGCAUCAGCAUGACAGCGUGACAUUUCUCAACAGCAACAACAACAACGACAACAACAAUAACAAGGCUGCUUGAUUGUUUUUUCUUAUAAGAAGCACACUUCAUAUGUUUAGACUCCACUUGUAUGUAUAAUCAAGUGAAGUCGUCUGGGUAAGGAGUAAUUAAUGAACAUGGAGUUAGGUGGCCUUGUAGAAUGGGUCUACCUCGACCCGUGUAUAUAAACCCGUGCAUGUGCCUUCUCCCUCCACAGCAGCAAACCAAGCAACAAGCUUGCUAGCUUAGAGAGCCAUGGCACUCCAACGACCUCCACUGUUGCUCCUUUGCUUCCAUCUGCUGGCUGCAUUACACACAACCUCCUAUGCGGCCUUGAGCUCACACCUGCCGCAAGCCAUGGACUGUUCAACGUCCGGGAACUACACCUCUACCAGUGCCUACGCCGCCAACCUGAACAAAUUCCUUGCUUCCCUCCCGGAGAAGACUAUCUUCAAGAACGGUGGCUUCAUCAACGACACGGUCGGGGAGGGCACGGGCACUGUGUACGGCCUCGCAAUGUGCUCCGCUGACUACUCGCGCUCUGACUGCGGUGACUGCCUCGCGGCCGCUGCCAGCAGCAACGCUAAUGGUCUGCCGAACCGCUGCCCUGGGAGCACCACUGUGCUCGCCUGGUUCGACCCGUGCCUCGUCCGCUACUCUGACACCAACUUCUUUGGCACCGCUCAGACAGGUAAUUGUUUUCUUUCUGAUGAUAUAUGUGUUGUUUCACAUAAGAUUAGGUGUAAAAUCUGGAUGAAUUUCACCUGUAAAAUAGAACAAGUGCAUUUUUUUUCCGAAAUGGAGGUUAUAUUCCCGUCCUCUGCAUGGAUUGUUACAUACCAAAACAAGUAGCUAGCUCUUUUAGAUAAGAUCAAUUAGGUGUAAAAUAUGCACGAAUUCCGUGAUCAUAAUUCCCACCAAAAAAAAUGGAAUUCCAUGACCAUAAAAAAACUGUGUGCUUCCGUGCGUGCAGGUGAAAUCUACACGCUGAAUGGUCCAAGAGCCAUCUGGGAGCCGCUGCAGUACCGUAACGACGUAGUCAGAAACUUGAACGAGUCGAUAGCGGCCGCAGUGGCCUCGUCGCAGCGAUUCGCGGCAUCGUCGACGGAUCCAUACACGUUGGUUCAGUGCACGUGGGACCUGCCGCCGGACCAGUGCAAGCAGUGCCUGGACGUGCUGACGGCCAAUGCGUCGAAGGACUGGACAUCCAUGGCAGUAGAUGGUAAGCGUAGGAGCUACAGCUGUUCUGUUAGGUACGGCAACACAAGCUUCGUGGUUGUGCCGUUCGGUGGUGCCCCUACGCCGCAAUCUGUAGAUCAAGCGACCACAUCAGCUAAUCAGUCGAGCAGCGCCGCGGGGAAAGGUAUGUAUGCAAGGCCCUACGCGACACACACAGAUGCAUGCAUGCUAAUAACCUGUGAACAAAGUUAAUAAAACAUAAUUUGUGAAAUCGGGGAAAGAUCGCUUUCAUUCAAAAAAAAAUGAAUAUCACAAAAUUCUGAACAAAAAAUAUGUUGUUCUAACAACAAGAAUCUGUCAGACUACAAUAUUUGAGAUCCAAAUUGAAAAACUCUAGGAAAUCAUAACUCUUUCUUGUGCUUGUGCUAGGUCCUCACUGAUUGCUGUUUUGUGAUAAGGCAUUAAGGCCCUCAUAACUCUAUCUCGCGCUUGUGCAGGUUCUCUGACAGCUGGCGUGGUGGGUUCUGUAGUUGGCCUAAUUUUGUUGGCUUGUGCAUGUUUGAUUUGGUAUCGACGGAAUGGCACAGCAGGUUCGUGUGACCCUCCUCGCUGAACUAUUGUUAAUAUUUUUUACUCCCUUUGAUCUAUAUUAAUUGUCGUUGAUUUUACUAAAUUAGGGACAAUUAAUACGAAUAGGAGGGAAUAGAGUAUGUUGUCUCUCAUCCAUUUCCAACAAGAAGGACUUAUGUUGCUCUUUUUGUUUUUAUAGGGAAUGAACGAAAGUUUUUUCGUUUGCAUAAGACACAGACGGACACGCAAACGCUAGCACACCCAAAUGCUCACAAAUUCACUUACCAACAAUUGGUGGGUGCAACCCGUGACUUCGCAGACACGCGAAGGCUUGGACAGGGUGCCUUUGGUGUUGUCUAUAAAGGUGCAGUGAUGGUGCAAGACAAAGAGGUGGACGUGGCUAUAAAAACGGCACUUGUUGUGUCAGAUGAAGCUAGGGCUGCCUUUAAGAACGAGGUUGAGAUUAUGAGCCCGCUGAACCAUUCCAACAUUAUACGUCUUGUGGGUUCGUGCGACGAAGAGGACAAUCUCUUGCUUGUUUACGAACUAGUGGAGGAUCGCAACCUUCAGGCUCGGCUUUAUGGCCGUGGUGCUCGUGUGGACGCAGAACUAACCGGUGUAAGGGCUCGGGGUUCAAGCCUUGAUCUAGAUUGGCGGAAAAGGUAGUUAACACACGAAUAUAUGUUACAUAACUCCAACGUAAAUGUUUUUCAAUAUAACCUUUUCUUGUUAUUAUUUUCUAUCAUGGAAAGAAACCAGGAGACUAUAACCUUCAAAUUACUUGUCUGACAGAGAACUCAAUGUUUGUGUUUCAGGUAUAACAUACUGCUUGGAAUAACCUGGGGUCUUGAAUACCUCCAUGCUAAAUGCGCUAAAUGUGUCCUGCAUAGGGACAUCAAGCCAGGCAAUGUGAUGCUGGAUAGGGACUCCAAUGCUAAACUGUGUGACUUCGGGCUGGUGACGCAACUCACCCACGCAAUAACCUCACGCUCGACGAACAACAUCAUUGGAACACAAGUCUACAUGGACCCAGCAUACCGGAACACCGGGAAGAUAACUAAGGAAUCUGAUGUGUACAGCUUCGGUGUGCUGUUGCUUGAGGUUGUAUGUGGCGAGGAGCCAGUCCUAAUUGACGGCGCUGGGAAAAACAGCCUCAUCGAGAAGGUCCGAGAAUGUGAGAAGAGAAAUGCAAUUCUCGAUGCAGCUGACCAACAACUAAGGGGCGAGUUUGAUGAGGAAAUCAAAGCAGCACUAUCGAUUGGGCUCUGUUGUGUCGAAACAAGACGUGGUGACCGUCCAACAAUCCAAAUUGUGUUGGGCCGGUUAUUAAGCCUGACCGGCAAAUUAGCUUCCAAUAACCGCCAUCCAAACGCAGUCUGUGAUGAGGUGUGAGUCUUGACAGAGGUAGGAGAAGAUGUUCCUAGGGCAGCACAAUAACAGUCAAGCCCUGCGUAGUAUCUGGAACGACGAACUUCAUCAUUGAAGCUAUAUUCGCUGUUCGCUCGCCAUAUGCUAUAUCCAUCCGUGUAACGAUGUGUCCGUGUGUGUUUGUGUACUUGAUAGCAAUUAUGUAACUGUCGGUCAUCUCAUGAUUCAAUAAAUCUUUUUGUCAUUUUCAUUGACAUCCUAAUUUAACCAAGCUUGGUAGCCUUUUUUCAUCUCAUCAAUUUAUCUGUCUAAAAUCUUUUUAUCGAGAUCAAGAGUCAAUCAAUGUAUAAAUAGCUCGCAUGCUGUGUGAGCAGGAACUUGAAUGGUACCAACAUUUUACCUCUAAAUUUAUCCUGAAAGGUAACUAAAAUACUAGAUAUUUCCAUGGUGUCAUCAAUGAUAGACACUGAAAGAAACUUACUCAUCCCCUACAAUAGGAGGAGGAUACGAUUAAGGAGCAUGAGCAACUUAAUUUUUUUUAUCACCAAUUAUUAUAAAAAUCUGAUUGGCACCCAGAGGAACGAUACUUCUCGAUGGAUGAGUCCUGAAUAGAUGACAUUCCCUAGGUCUCUGAUGAGGAAAAUAGCCUUCUAACAACUCCAUAUUCCAAGGAGGAAGUUAGAAAUCUGGUUUUCCUAAUGGAGCACAACAAACCCCUGGAUUAGGAUGGUUUGCUGAGUUCUACCAAAACUUCUGGGAAGUCAUCAAACCGGAUCUCCUGCUUUUGUUUGGCUAUCUACAUGUUGGCCAGUCGGAAUUGUUUCGCUGAAAAUUCGGUGAGAUUACUUUAUUACCUAAGGUUAAUGAGGCUGAAAAGAUGCAACAAUAUAGACCAAGCAGCCUCCUUAAGGUUAGUUUUAAAAUCUUCACGAAAGUGAUGAUGAUUCAGCUAAAUUUGAUUGCUGACCAUGUGGUUCAUCCUUCAGAGACUGCUUAUUUGCAAGACAAAAACAUCCUAGAUGGAGUUGUUAUCCUUCAUGAAACAGUCCACAAAUUACAUCCAAAAAAACUGAAUGGGGUGGUACUUAAAAUCAGCUUUAGAAAAUCUUGUGACAAAUUCAAGCGGUCUUUUCUUGACAAACUCUCAGAAUGAAAGAAUUUUCUGCAGAAUGAUGCGCUAUGAUCCAUAGUUUCCGAUCUGGAGGUAGUGUGGCCAUUAAAGUCAAUGACUACGUUGGCCAAUAUUUCGAAAGGAAGAAUGGAUUGCGACAAGGUGACCCAAUAUCGCUCAUGCUAUUCUUCAUAGUGACUGGUAUGUUAGCGGUCAUGAUGGAGCGUGCCAAGGAUGAUGGCUGAUACGUCCAUUUUGCAUCAUGUUUUCCUAUUGAUACUUAUUGCAUUAUGGAUUGUUAUUUCACGUUAUGAUAUAAUUACUAUGCAUUUUCUCUCUUAUUUUGAAAGUAUGUCUAGCGGGGGGGAUGAUUAGACUACUUGACCAAAUAAAAAUAUAUCAUUUUCUCAAUUUUAGUUGUGGGCAGACAUUAGCAAUUAUGACGAGUCAAGCAAUCAACCUACACAUGCAAUUCAAAGAGUAUUCUCUAUGAUGUGAACCUGAUGUGUAUAUUAUUCAAAACCUGAUGUGUAUUGAAAACUUCAUGUUUACUUUUUGGAUCGUUAAUCCUUUAAUCAUAUUGCUUUAGGGAAAUGGCGCCACCACCACCACCACCAUGUCGACGGUGCAAGUCAAGGUGAGCCGGCAGCCUUGCAACUGGCACGCUGUUCGGCAUCUACUUCAAGUCUAGUUUUCUUCAUGCGGCGGUAAUAAAUUAUAUGAAACUAGUAACCACUAUUUUGUUUUUAGUGUUAUUGGCAUUAAUGCAUCGUGUAUAUAUCAUUUUGCUUUUUGUACACAGAUCGUCCCAUGUGGGGUCGGAAUGCAACAAGCUGACCGGAGACUCUGUGACCUUUGAGGCUCCUGGGGGCCCCUACACUAUGGAGGUCGAGAAAGGACGAAAUAUGACGCGGGUGGGAGGAGAUGGAUGGGUCCGUUUCAUCACCCACAUGCGUAUCACCGGUGGUGAGUUGAUCAGCUUCUCCUUCAGAGCAGAAAGACCCAAGCUGACCGUCAUUUAUGUCAACAAAGCAGAAGAUGAUGAAGAUGAUGAGGAUGAUGAGGAUGAUGACGAUGAUGAUGACCCACUUGAUAAAUCCAUCAUAGCUCAAAGAAUGAGGUUGAGCGAGGAGGAGGUGUGCAACCUAUGGGACAUCAUUCCGCCACGUGCUGACUCCGUCGGGGUGCCAUUCGUGACCCGCCUGACAAGUACCAUGGUUGAUCGGCAUAUCAUGGUAUGUUGCAUUUACUGUAGUAAUUUGAUGAUAUGCUUUAUUGUCAUACUUAGUGUAGAGUCCGAUGAUAUAUAUGCUUAGUGAAUCUUAUAUGCUUAGUGAAUCUUAUAUGCUUUAUUGUUAUACUUAGUGUAGAGUCCGAUGAUAUAUAUGCUUAGUGAAUCUUAUAUGCUUAGUGAAUCCAAUGGUCUAUAUGCUUAGUGAAUCCGAUGAUAUAUAUGCUUCAUGUAGAAUCCAAAGAACUGUUAAUAGUGUAGAAUCCAUAUAUACUUAUUAGUAGAAUUCAUGCUUAGUAGAAAUGUAGUACUGUCUUUUGUUAGUGUAGAAUGUGUGAGGCUACUUAUUAAUUGAUAUGUUUUUCUUAUUCAGAAAUUGCCAAAGAGCCUAUCUGAGAGUUGUGGUAUCAAGCCUGAUGAAGAAGGCUCUGCUGGAAUAUGCCUUACCGCGAGGGGCUCCGUCACCACCUGUGCGUACAGCGUGGACACGGACGGUCGCACACACUUCACACUAGUGCAGAACCGGGCUUUAGCGCCGGUUCGUAACAGCCUUUAGUGCCGGUUCGGCAACCGGCACUAAAGAGUGGGGACUAAAGGUCCCCCCCUUUAGUACCGGUUCGUCACGAACCGGCGCUAAAGUGCCACCACGUGGCACAAGCCAGGCCCGGGUGCGUGUAGGGCUUUAGUACCGGUUGGUGACACCAAUCGGUACUAAAUGUUUGGGUGUGUUUUGUUUUUUUUUCCUUUAAUUUUGUGUUUUCAAUUUAAUUUAGUGAUUGUUUUACAUUAUAAUGAGUUGUUAAAUCAUUAGGUGAAAGCACCGCGAUAAGUUUCGACUGGAUGUGCAUGCAUAUGUGGAUCCUAGCUAUAGCUAAGUGAUCAAGUAUAUGCCAUAUCCAUAUUAUAUACUUGAUCACCUAAUUAGGUGAUCAAGGUGAUCAAGUAUAAUAUGAUAUGGCAUAUACUUGAUCACUUAGCUAGGAUCCAUCCAGCUGAAACUAAUCUGCCGUUUCUUUCAUUAAAUGAUAUAAUAACUCAUCAUCAUCAUCAUCAUCAUAUUAAUAUAAAAACUCUUGCAUCAUAUCAUCAACAUCAGUAUACUAGCUAGCUAAAAAUCAUCAUAGUCAUCAUUAUCACUAUUUAAUCAUCAUAGUCAUUACCGCUAUCUAAUCACCACCAACACUAGCUUAAAGAAGAAACAUUCACUUGUACCAGAAGCAAAAAUAUCAUCGAGUUCAACAUGAUGGUCAUGAUAUUAUAAGCGUUCAUAAUACCACAAAAGCACAUCACUCUUUGAGAUUAAGUUCAGGACGAAGAACACGGACAUGAGAGGACAAGUACUAAGAGCAUGAACUAGCUAAAUCACUCCUGCUCUCUCUCUCUCUCUCUCAGGUAAAAUAGCAUAGAACAUAUAUAGCUCUCCUGAUUCAUCAUACUGGAGCAUGCAAAUGAACAUGUCUCCUAAUCGUGGGCUGUGCUUCUCAUUGCUGCCCCCUAGUAUUUCUCUGCGACCAUUAACAAUUUUCCUCCAAUCUUUCACUAUUAAGCAUUCAUCGCUUCUAGAAAUCCUGAAUGCACUCAUGUGCAAUGCAGGAUAUCUUGGCCAUAAGCUAACAAUUGACAUGCGACCUUUAGUCUCGAUCCACUGAGGCACAACUUUCAUCGAGAGUCCCUGUUGAAGAACAUCGUAUAGUAAUUAAUAUACUUAGCAAUGAAAGUUUAGCAAAAAAAUAUGUAUGCAAAAGAUGCACUGAGUACAAAUAGUAAAAAUCUUACCAUCAUUCCUAAAUAGAUGUGACCGUAGUUCAAUACGAUCACUAUUGGUCGCAUGUUUUGAGUACUAACAUUUCUAAGUGCAGGAAGAAAAUUUGUCUUGACAGUAUGAAGAUCCUCAAGCCAUGAAACAUAAUGACUUAUCUCCUCGCAGUUUAGUUCAGCUCCGGGACAGUAGUAGGUCAUGUCUACCAAGAGCCGGACAUGUUUGCUUGAAUGGAAAUAAGCUGUCAAUAGAAAUUAGUUGUCAACUAUUUUUGAAUAAACAAUAUCAAAGACAUAAAUAUGGUUGAGAAGAGCUCACAUAAUGGUAGAACUGGAGGCGUCUGCACAUCGACCCAGAUGUCUCUAUUACCUUCAAUAUCAUCUUCCGGACGAAUAUCAAUGGUGAUAACCAUAUCAGGCUCAAAUGCAUAAGCCUUGCAUAGUGCUUGCCAAGUUUUGCAUUCAAAAUAGGUGUACGUGUCUGCAUUUUAUACUUUGAUGUUGAAAGUAUAAACAUGCUCAGUUUUCAGGUAAACUCUCAUUACACUAGUAGAAAAAGGGGCAAAUCUGAGACACAUUAGUGUCGGUUUGAUUUUGAGCCGGCACUAAUGUGUCCAUUAGUGUCGGUUCCAACGGCUAGCCGGCCGUUCUCAUUAGUACCGGUUCAUGGCGAACCUUUAGCACCGGUUCGUGCCACGAACCGGUACUAAAGAGAGUGGUGGCAGGGUGUUGUCAGUCUGGGGGCCCUCCAGCACCUUUAGUACCGGUUCGUGGAACGAACCGGUACUAAAGGUCGACAUACAUAAACCCUUCGUCCACCCGAGCCACUCUAUUCUUCCCCUUUCCCCUCACUUCCUCUGUUCUUCCCCUCUCUUCCUCAAGCUCCUCACAAAUUUUGCCCAAAAUUUGUCAAGAUUUGAAGGCCCCCAUCCAUUCAAAUGAUCACAAAGGUUAGCAACUUUUUCCUUUCAACUCUCAUUGCUAGAUUAGCUCUUGCAAUGCUUUGUAUAGUGAUUAAUUUGGGAGGAAUUAUAUUUGCUAGUAUUUGAUUUAUAUGCAAUUUGAGGUCAAAAAUAACACUUAGUUUGCAUAUGUAGGUGUGGUUUACUUAGUGCCUUCUAAAUCUCCGUCGUAACCACCGUCGAUCGCCCGCACCGUCCCGUCGCCGGUACCACCUUGUGGUGAGGCUCUUGUUCAUGAAUGUUUUACAUUACCAAAUUGAUGGUUGUGUGAUUUGGAUAUAUAGUUACUCGUAUAAUUAUCUUACCCGUACGUUGUUUGUUAUACAUAGUGCCAUGGUUUUGAUAUCCGUCCCCGUCGGCCCUCGUCCUUGUUAUGAUUUGGAUGUGGUAUAUUCUCUUUUAAAACUAGUUGUUACAUUUCGUGUUUAUGACAAAUUAUGCCCAUCAAGUUGACAUAGAUAUUUUUAUCUAGGAGGUAUGUGAACCAGAAAUUCCAACCGACCCUAUUGUCGAGAGGUUAAAUUUAGUUGAAAGAGAAAAUGAGUAUUUGAAAGAAAAAUUGAAAAGAAUUGAGGGGGAGAAGAUGCAAUUGGAGUUGCAUGUUGCCGAUGUCGUCGAUGAUCACAAGAUCAAGAUGGAGAAAAUGAGGUUGAAGAUUAGAAAGAUUAGAAAAUAUGCCAUUGAUAGUGUGGCUUGGUAUCAUUAUGUUGUUGGAUCAAUUGUUACCUUAGUUGCGAUCUUGAUCGCAUUUGUUGUUGCAUUUAAAUUCUUUAGCUAGAGAGUUAUUUGUAUGUUGCAUUUAAUUAAGUGUUGUAUAUGAACUUUAUGUAUGAACUUUAUGUAUGAACUUGUAUUAAUUUGGUCUAUUCGGUGUUGUGUAAUGAAGAUGAGCCGACAAUGGAUGUAUAAUGACCGAUGCUCUCCCGAGUUCAUUAAUGGCGUGCAUACUUUUAUGCUUGCCGCUGAGGCAAACAAGCGGGCGGAUGGUUUUAUGCCUUGUCCAUGUGCUGGCUGUAAGAAUGGUUACAGUUACUCUACGUCAAGAACCAUUCACGUCCACCUAUUUGAGUCUGGUUUCAUGCCCCCACUAUAAUGUUUGGACCAAGCACGGAGAAAUAGGGGUUAUGAUGGAAGACAAUGAAGAAGAAGACGACGACGAUGGCUAUCCUGGCCAUGGGUUCCCUGAAUACGAUGAUACAACAAUGGGGGAAGAAGCUGAGCGGCAAUGCGGGAAGAAGCUGAAGAAGAGGCAUCAGAGCCCGCUGAUGAUCUAGGUCGGGCCAUUGCCGAUGCAAAGAGAAACUACGCAAGUGAUCUGGAGAGGACGAAGUUGUAGCGCAUGUUAGAGGAUCACAAGAAAUUGUUGUAUCCGAAUUGCGAAGAUGACAAAAAAAAGUUGGGCACCACACUUGAAUUGCUGCAAUGGAAGGCAGAGAAUGGUGUAUCUGACAAGGGAUUUGGAAAGUUGCUGGUAAUGAUAAAGAAUAUGCUUCCAACGGAUAACGAAUUGCCCGAGAGUACGUAUGAAGCAAAGAAGGUUGUCUGCCCUCUAGGGUUAGAGGUGCAGAAGAUACAUGCAUGCCCUAAUGACUGCAUCCUCUACCACGGUGAGUACAAGGAUUUGAACUCUUGCCCAGUAUGCGGUGCAUUGCGUUAUAAGAUCAGUCGCGAUGACCCUGGUGAUGUCGAGGGCGAGCGCCCCAGGAAGAAGAUUCCUGCCAAGGUGAUGUGGUAUGCUCCUAUAAUACCAUGGGUGAAACGUUUGUUCCAAAACAAAGAGCAUGCGAAGGCGAUGUGGUGGCACGCAGAAGACCGUAAGAAAGACGGAAAGUUGAGAGUACCCGCUGAUGGUUCGCAGUGGAGAAAAAUCGAGAGAAAGUACUAGGAGGAGUUUGCAGGUGACCCAAGGAACGUAUGGUUUGGUCUAAGCGCAGAUGGAAUUAAUCCUUUUGGGGAGCAGAGCAGCAACCAUAGCACGUGGCCUGUGACUCUAUGUUUGUAUAACCUUCCUCCUUGGUUGUGCAUGAAGCGGAAGUUCAUUAUGAUGCUAGUGCUCAUCCAAGGCCCUAAGUGUCAGGACCCGGACUCAAUGCCACAUCGAUCUAGCAUGUAACACCUCAUAUCACUUUGCGGCCUCAUGCAUGGUAUCCCCACGGGUGUCGCCUUACCUUUGCCCGGGACCGUUUGCGCCUUUUGGCACACGUAUAUGAUAGUGUCGCUAGCAUCCAUAUGAUAAGGAGCCCGGGCUCACAUGGCUAGUCGUAAACCCAAAGUGGCACAAACUUAUAGGGACAGGCAUCCAUGACCCAGCAUCGAACAUGUCGGUCAUCAGCGAGUGAAUCCAGGCUGUAGCACUGGGCUAACAGGACUCCGGUGAACUGGGCUGUAGUGGGCUAACAGGACUCCGGCAUUCAUCGCGUGACAUUUCCCCGAAGGGACAGACACAGGAACGAAGAAGGACACAUGCCGGUCAGCCUAAGUGUUCCGGAGCAGUAGCAAGCUACCAUGGCUCAGUGGAAGCACUAGGAGACAUUUCCCGGUAAGAGAGGCUACUAAGGAUAAACAACUAGAUAGUCAGAUCCCACACAUACCAAGCAUUUCAAUAAUAUCCACACAAUAUGCUCGAUAUGUGCAAAUACAACAUGGCAUCACAACAUGACUCUACAACUCAAGUAUUUUAUUCAAUAGGCUCCGAGGAGCGAGAUAUUACAAACAUGGGUCUCAUGACCCAACAUUCAGAGCAUACAAGUCAAAGCACAAGCGGAAGCUUAACAUGUCUGAGAAUAGACAACUAAAAAUGAAAAAGGCUGAGAAGUCUGACUAUCUACCAGAUCCUGCCAAGGACACAAGAUAGUAGCUGAGGUAACAAGCUAAACGUCGAAGUCCACGUGAAACUACUAGUGAGACGGGAGUCUCUGCAAAAACGUAAAAUAGGCAAACGUGAGUACAAAUGUACCCAGCAAGACUUACAUCAGAACUAACUACAUAUGCAUCAUUUUCAACAAAGGGGAUGGUGGAGUUUGAUUGCAGCAAGCCAGCUUUGACCCGGUGGCUAUCCUGAACUACGACUGCAAGUAACUCUUUUGAGGUGGCGCACACGAGUCCACAUAUUCACCAUAUCAAUACACCACUAUGGAUCCGUUCCCGUCCCCCUACGAGAACGCCAUCCAUAGCACUCACGCUUAUCUUGCGUAUUUUAGAGUAUCCACUUCAAGUUAUCUAUGAACUGUACAGGCAACCCAGAAGUCCUUUUCCGCGGACACGGCUAUUCGAAUAGAUAAUGUUAACCCUGCAGGGAUGUACUUCUUCACACACGCUCUCACCACUUAUCGCCGUUUACACAACAUGUACUCGGCAACCUUCAAGCGGAAGCCCAGCGAGGGUGUCGGCCACGACCUGACUAACCAUACAAGUCUCUCGUCCAGGUUUAUCGCCUAUUCAGGUUCCAUCCGUAAGGAGAUCCAGCCGGGGUGUCGCUCACGGCCCUAAACGAUGUGUGCAGGGUUCCCAAGCCCACCAUCUGGGUGCCACUUGGUACACCAGGCCACUGUGCUUAGUCUGUCCCAAGCCCACCUGUACCGGGUGCCACUUGGUAGACUACUAACACUACCUACAAACACCAGAAACUAGUUGCAACUCCUGGACAGAGAUCAGGUUGAUUAAUAAGUCGAGAGGGGCACUUAAGCAUUCCAAUGCAUGGUAGUAGCUGUUCAUGGAUCACAAACAUAGAACUCAGUUCCUGAGGACGGUUUCAAUGAGACAACCCACCAUGUACUCCUACAUGGCCUCUCAUCGCUACCUUUACCAAAUCGUGUUCACACACUUAGCUCUCAACAGUAGGACAUGUUCACCACAUUCCAAUUCAUCCCCGAUGAAUAAGACCUGACUCAACUCUAAGCAGUAGCAGGCAUGACAAACAAGCAUGAAUGAGUAGGCACAUCAGGGCUCAAACAACUCCUACUCAUGCUAGUGGGUUUCAUCUAUUUACCGUGGCAAUGACAGGUCAUGCAGAGGAAAGGGGUUCAACUACCACAGCAUGUAACAGUUGCAUCGUUGUUGUCCUAAUGCAGUAAAAGAGAGCAGGAGCGAGAGAGUGGUAUUGUAUCGGAAUGAACAAGGGGGUUUUGCUUGCCUGGUACUUCGGAAGGUAAUAUAGCUCUUCAUCAGUGUCAUCGAUCACGUCGUUGGUAACAACGUCUACUCUGGGGGACAAUUACUGGCAACAGAGAGGAAACACAAUCAAUGCAAUGCAACAAUAUGAUGCAUGAUCAUGACAUGGCAAUAUGCUAUGAUUUGAGCUGAUGCAACUAAAACCAGAUUAAAUGAAGUUGGUUUGAAUCAAAGAUUCAAAUUCAAACUCCAUAUGUGAUUUAUUAUAUGCCAUUUAAUUGAAUUGUCCUAAAAAGUAGUCAUAAGUUGUUCUAACAUGCAUGAAAAUGGUACAGAUGGGAAGAUUGGAUUUUUUUGAUCAUUUUUCAUAUAUAAUUUAUCUCAUUUGGAGUUACGGUUGAAUUUAUAUGAAUUUUAGAAGUUUUGGGCAUUUUCUGGAAUUUUCUGAAUUAUUUUAAAUCCAGAAAAUUAUUAACUGCGUCAGCAUGACAUCAGCACUACGUCAGUAGGUCAACGGGGCUAGUCCAGGUCAAACCUGACAUGUGGGGUCCACACGUCAGUGACACAUGAACUAAUCCUGGUCAAACCCAGCGCUGACUGGGGUUUGACCAAGUGUAGGGCCCACUGUCAGUGGCUGUAGGGUGUUUAGCUGGCUGGGUUAGCUCCUAAUGACGGAGCCACGUCGGCUCGCCGGAGUUUGGCCGGCGGUGACCAUUCCGCGCAGCGGAGCUGUUGCUGGGCGGCGCUAGGGGCUGCGUUUAGGUGUGGGGAGACCACCAGGAGGGAGCCCAUGCUCUUCCGCAUCCAACGGAGCAGAAAGGAGCGGGCGGGGUGCGUUGUACUCGCCGGAGUCGAGCUCGCGGCGGCGGCCGGAGCUCGGGCGAGCUCGGGGUCGGCGUUAGGGAGCACAGCAGAGGGUGCAGAGGGGUGCUAUGGCCUCCUGGGGGUGCACAGAGCGCGGCUGCGUGCUCGAUUGCAGCUCUAGGCAACGGUGGCUACGGCGGCUACAUGGUCAGCGGCGGCCGGAGAUCAGGCGCGGUGAGAACGGCGGCUACGGCGGCCAAAUGUGCAAGAGAGCUAGGGAGAGGCAGAGGAGCUCACCGCAAAGCCGGAUGGGGUCUCAGCGAGCUCGGGGACGCGUCGGAGACGACGAAAGGGUGCCGGCGAUCUCGGCGACCGAGAGGUUGAACACGACGGCAUUGAUGGCGAAGUAGGGCUCCCGGCGAUGUGUGGCUUGACGAGGAGGACGAAGGCGACGAGGCGGAUCCCUGGGGCGUGUCGAAGAGGCGGGAGGGAGGCGGUGGCUGCGGCUAUGGCGAACAACGGCGACGGUCUCCGUUCGGUUGCGGGAGGGAGAGAGAGCUGAGGAGGAUAGGGACGGAGGGAGAAGUGGACGUGGCGCCAGGGAGGUGCGUGGCAUCUCCAGCGGGGUCGGGAAAGCGAGCAGAGAGGCAGGAGGUGGCGGCGUGUGCGCGCGUGCGGCGGCCACACGCUCUGCUGUAACACCCCAAAAAUUUAACUAGGUUUUAGUUAUUUAAAUUUUGCCAAGAGUUUAAAAUUUUUGCCUGCAAGAAUAUAUCUGUUGAUUUCAAAACUUUUCUUUUAAUAUUAAGGAAUUUUUCCCAAGUGGAUCCUUCCAAAUCAUAUUGGACUUAUUUUCUCCCUCAUUUAAAAACAUCUCUCAAUCAGGAGAUUUAUUUAUUAAAUUAUUUCACUCUGAGCUUUAUUCCUUAAAAUGACUUUCUUUAAGUUUUGGAGCUCUUUUUGAACUACAACCAUUUGAUAGAUUUAUCUAAAAAAUCCAACCAAAAUUUGGAGGUGUCUUGUGAUGUUUUUAAAUCACUCUUAUCCAAAAAUAUCUUUUAUUCUUGAAAUAUUUUGAGUGCUACACAUGUUUUUCUUCUCUGGUUCAGAGAGCAAUUUUACACUACAACCUAUUUAAAUAUUUGUUUAAAACUUCUACCAAAAUUAGGGGAGGUCAGUAGGAGCAUAUUAUUCCACUUUGUGCAAAAAAACCAUUUAUGUUCUUUGAAAAAUUUGAGUGAAACAACCUCUUUUCCAUUCUGGUCCAAUUGAUGAUUUGUACAGCAACCACCAUUUUAGUCGAUCCUAUAUCCAUGAUUCCUUUUUCUACUGGUAGUCCCCCUUGCCAAACCCUUAAGUCCAGGAGAGUGGACCCAUUGGAUGAUUCUAAGUACUUGCAACAAUGCCAUUUGCUUUCUGUCCAGAAUUGAAGUUUUGCAAAACUUGCACUAGCAAGUUUCUCCUUUCUGCAAACUAACUUCACCACCCUCUCUUUCAUCCACAGAGACACUAGUAUGGAAGAUUUGGCCCCUCCAAGAAUAGCCUAGGUGCCUUUGGCAUUUUGACAAACACCUAGAUUGCAUGGACUGAAUUGGCAUGAUCUCAAGUCUACACUAUGAACUUGCACCUCUGAUCAAACAAGCAUGUCCACUAGACUCCCCGUUACUCCUGACCUAGAUCUGCUAAAUGCCAGCCUCACCCAAGCUCUGUAGCAUGCUCUGGCAUUACGUCGAGCACGUCCCGUGCAUGCCCAGAGCGCGAGCAGAGCGUGCAUUUGGCACGCACGUGCGCCCGAGCCGCCGCAUCGCGCCCGCUUCGCGCCACCUACCCCCGCUCGCCCGCAGAGCCGCGCCCGACCUCAUCCACUCGCAAGAAUCGUCCAAAGCCGCACAGCGCCACCGUCAGGGCACUUUUGGCGGCACGCCAGCGUCGGCCGACAGCCUCUGCUCCGUUCGGUGCCGCCCAAGCCACCUCGGCCCGCCACCUGGCCCUAGCACAGCCCGAGCUCAUCCACAAGGGCGUCGCCUAGCCCUCGUCGUCGCCACGACGCCCUGCGGCUACAGAAAGACGGUCGCCGACGAGCUUAUCCAUGGCCGCCGCGGAACCGCCUUGCCUCGCCUAUAUAAGGGACCCCGAGCCCCUCUGAGCACGCAAACAAACUCAGUACACUCCUCCAGUUCCCCCAUGGCAGCCAAUCGACCCGAGGGGGCCGUCUUCCUCAUCUCCGGCAACCCCAGCCGCCGCCGCUGUCUCGACCAUUCCGGCGCCACCAAAGCUUCCCCCUCCCCGUUCUCUUCGCCAAGAACUCCCCCUUCCUCUCUCGAGUGCAACCCCUCAAUCAAUUUUGGCAGGAGACCACCGCCGCCCCAAAACCACUUCGCCAUCGAAGCCUUCCUCCGCCGCAGAGUUCGCCGCCGGCAGCUCACUCCAUCCCCAUCACUUCCUCGACCAUCGGAAGAACCGCCCCAGUCGUGUGGAUCCAUCCCCACCCUCGGGGGCCCGUGAGGAGCAGCCGAACGCCGGCGACGAUCGCUGGAGUCCCGCCUCCGCUCGGGAUAGAGGGAGAAGGAGGGAGAGGCGACUGGUCAAACCUGACCAGUGGGCCCCCUGGACCCACUGUCAGUGACCCACCCCGCCGCCACGCGUGUUAAGUGAAAGCGUAAAACCCCAAGUACGUAACCCUACUUAGAAAGCGUAUUUCUGCCGAAACGUUUUCUUUUCUGUUUUAUUAUUAAAAACAGAUUUUGACCAAAUCUUUGACUGGUUAUAUCUUUUUAAAUAUAACUCCAAAUUGACUGAUUCUUUUUCCUACCCCUCUCAAAUUUCACCUAGUUUAUUUUAAGAUUUAUUGGAAAAAAAUUCAGAACAACUUUUGGUGCUGUUUUUAUUUUGUGUGUUAAUUCUUUUAUAUUGCCAAAAUAGGAUUUUUGAAGAGAGGAGAAAUGUUUCAAGUUUUGGAGUGCACCCUGCCUUUCCACACAUUGAAGGCAAGCAUUCUGAACCCCGGCAUAAUAUUUUUGGUGUGUUCGUUGACACGUUUAUAACACCACCUCAUUUCGAAGGACUUGUUAUUUCAUGUGAUAUGAUCAUUUGCAUGGAUGCAUAUUGGUGAUUUCCAUGCUGUUGGAAAUGAGUAUACUUGUGAUGGUAAUCAUCCUCAUGUAUCUUGCAUGCAUGCCGGAGAGGAAUCCGGGAAAGCCUCUGCCUUGGGUAGGCGUGAGCUUGUCGCCGGUCUCCGUCGGGACGGGUAUGUCCGGUAUGGCAUGGUAAGAUAUAAUGAGUGUUGGUUGUAUUGGUUGAAAUAUAUUUGUUAUACAUGUCAUGCAGGAAACUAUAAACCUCCUGAGUCGACCAUAGAUCGAGUCUUGUGCCAGUAACCCCCAUACUUGUUUCGUACUACCACUCGUCUCUACAGCAAGUAGAGUACGGUUCAGUAAGUUGUCAACCUCUUUCUAGCACAUACCGUACAGAGAGGCCAUGGUGGAAGAUACCGGUUGUAGCUGGUAGGCAGGCCACCUGGUCCGGGGGCAUGGGUGUUUCCGGUUGGGACCGAGAGGGGAGGCCACCCCUUAGAGCGCGCGAUAUAAAUUUGAUCCCAUGCUACGCGAGGUUGUAGCCUCCCCACUUAGAGUUUGCUUAACAGGUGUCGUGGGUGAUUCCAGACACAUGUGAGUUAAGCUGGUGUGUGCAAGUUAGGUGUGUUUUCAACUAAAAGACCGUGGACGGAAUUAGUCCCGAUGGACUAAAGAAAUCCGUUACUCGUGGGUAAAGAGUACACCCUCUGCAGAGAUUAAAACCUAUUCGAAUAGCCGUGUCCAUGGUUAAGGACUACAGUCUGGGACGGGUCAAGUGUCGGUCUUAGUGUCGGUCUUCGGAGGUGAUAACUGUUAACCAGAACGGGAAUUACUACUGGUGACUUGUGGUAAUUAUGAUUAUCAUUAUUGUUUGACUAACCCGUGAUAUUAUUGUUAUUAUUGAGUAUCUCUGGGAUGGUUCUACCUCCGGGAUAUUCACUAUGAUUGUUCAUUUUAAAAGCCCUUUAUGCGGUGUCGCUCAGACGCCCGACUGUGGCAUUUCUUUUAAAGCCCUUUAUGUGGUGUCGCUCAGACGCCCGACUGUGGCAUUUCUUUAAAAGCCCUUUAUGUGGUGCCGCUCAGACGCCCNNNNNNNNNNNNNNNNNNNNNNNNNNNNNNNNNNNNNNNNNNNNNNNNNNNNNNNNNNNNNNNNNNNNNNNNNNNNNNNNNNNNNNNNNNNNNNNNNNNNNNNNNNNNNNNNNNNNNNNNNNNNNNNNNNNNNNNNNNNNNNNNNNNNNNNNNNNNNNNNNNNNNNNNNNNNNNNNNNNNNNNNNNNNNNNNNNNNNNNNNNNNNNNNNNNNNNNNNNNNNNNNNNNNNNNNNNNNNNNNNNNNNNNNNNNNNNNNNNNNNNNNNNNNNNNNNNNNNNNNNNNNNNNNNNNNNNNNNNNNNNNNNNNNNNNNNNNNNNNNNNNNNNNNNNNNNNNNNNNNNNNNNNNNNNNNNNNNNNNNNNNNNNNNUUUAAAGCCCUUUAUGUGGUGUCGCUCAGACGCCCGAUUGUGGCAUUUCUUUUAAAGCCCUUUAUGUGGUGUCGCUCAGACGCCCGACUGUGGCAUUUCUUUAAAAGCCCUUUAUGUGGUGUCGCUCAGACGCCCGACUGUGGCAUGCUUGUUAUUUAUUUCAUAAUUUUUAAUACUUCUAUGGCAUUGCAUGUUCAUACAUCAGAGUUAUAUUUAUCUUUGUGACUGACGUCAUGAGCAUAAAAUAUUGUCAGCACAUCAUUGUUAUAUUAUACCUGUGUUCAAAAUGUUUGCGAGUACAUUCAAAGUACUCACUGGUUUGUCCCUGGCUAUUGUCUUGGCCAGAUUUUCUUGCACGGAAAGGAGCGACGUGAUGACAGCCCCGGAACCUAUGCAAUGGAGAUAGCAGCCUCGCGAAGAUAGGAGUUAACCUGGUCAGCUGUUCCUGUGGGAAUUGGAGUCCCAUAGACACUGAUGAUCCACAAACCGCUUCCGCCAUCAACCACUAGAAACCUUUUGUUGUACUCACAGGCCAGAAUGGUCUUGUACCACAUAUUUUGUAUUUUGCUUGGGAUUUCUGUAUCAAGUUGGAGCCUCAUCAGCUAAUAGUAAUCCUGGGGCUGAUGAGCACGACGGUCUUUUUCGGGAAAUUUAUUACCUGGAAAACCGGUCGUGACAGACUUGGUAUCAGAGCCAGGCUGACCAUUGGCUAACCCUAUCUUAGCCAGGUCAAUAAACUUAGGCAAACCAACCCACCAGACCAUAACCAAAACCCAGCCAAGCUUCUCGUGCAAGAUAGCCACACAGUGACCCCGACAUUUUUGGCAGUCGGAGCCCAACCUACCAACCUAGCUUGUCGAUCACGCGCCAGUAACCAGCACCCAAGAUGUCUCCCCCACAAGCGUGCGAAGGAAGACUCCGUCCCCUUUUUCUAUAAAAAGGGCACGCUAACCCCAACCCAGCACGGCACAGCGUCUUCCCCAACCUAGCCACAAUGCCUGGCCCCAUAGUGCACAAUGAAACCACAGCAACCAACCUUGGAGGUUUUGUGACCAUCCUCGCAAACCUCACCCGUCGUGCCUAUGCAUUAGAAGAGCCACCAGAAUAUGUUGUGUACCAAGGACCCAUGAGCGGUGAAGACCGUCAAUUCUGGGCCACUGUACACAUCUACGGUAGGGGUCUAGCGCCCGAACGCCCCUACAGGUUCACCGGAAGAACAACUUCCUUUGAGCCACAAUCCAUACAACUAGCUGCUCGAGAGGCUAUAGUUCAUCUCAGGCACUUGUCGCCCAGAGUUAACUGUCGCUCGUUCCACUACUACCCCAGACGCGAAGGGUAUGGUAGACCACCCCAAGUUGCCAACGGAGAUCACGAGACGGAUCCCGCACUGUUGCACCUAGUGCGUUAUGUAAGUGCACUAGAGGCACUGUUCGACCGGAUCACCAUUGAUCUGAUCGCAGCUCGAGGAGAGCUGGUUCGUCGAGCCCCAGCAAGAAGAGAAGACGAGCCCGACGCCGACAACCCAGUCGUGCUGUUCGGACACCCGAUCGAAACCCGGAGUUCAGCUCCAGCCAUCAACCGAGAUACAUUGAUGACCCCAGAAGUGCUUCGUCACCUUUUGGGAGCACACACCAACGGGGUUGUGGCCAACAAUCCCCGCGAUGGUCAUCAUCGCUACCCCGACCCUGUCGUUCCUCCGCCAUCUCCGACUAAUCACGGCAGUGAGACACGUGGAGGAGACUCGACAUCCACCAGGCAUGCCCGUUUAGACAUAAACGAGGUAGACUAAGCCGUACGAGUAGUACCGAGUCUCAGUGUAUCCUUACUUUGUAAUCGUGCGACCAAGUAUAUUAACGCAGCCUGUCGUUGUGCCUCUGUUUAAAUAGUAGCCUUGCAUAUUUUGUCAGCGCGCCGUUGCAUAAUUUCCGGGCACAGCUACCAAAACCAACCUUGACGACAACUACAGUAACACGUCUCUUUAUGAGAUAUGUGUAUCUCCGGCACGGACCCCGACUCUUGAGGUAAUCUGGCAGAUUUAUUACCUUUCACCACGGUAAAUAAACCAGCCCAGAUGCUAUAUAAGAAGGCCACCUCGUGACCUUACCCAGCAACCCUCACCUCGUGCACCACUCUCACAACCAUUUCUUGUCAUGUCAAGCCCCAGUAUUCAUCUGAGAACCCCAGAUGCAACCCCAGGUAGCUUUGUCAAAAUAUUGCGGGACUUUACCCGCAGUACCAUGGGUUCUAACCAGCCACCCCAGUACGAGCUGUUCAAAUCGAGGAUCACCCCUUCCACCUCAGAAUAUUGGGCAGCAGUACACAUUCCUCCCAUAGACCCCAACCAAGAUCCAACAGAAGUUUCCUUCAUGGGGAAAUCUAUGCCAACCCCGCACCUGGCCAUAGAAGCUGCUGCGAAGGAAGCGAUUGCUCGCCUUCGAUCCGCAGUACCCUAUGCCCGCGAACGAGGAUAUUAUUACUUUCCGAGCCGUGCAGCACCCGGAGAAGUUACAUCUUUUCCCGGUGGACGGAUUGAGAAGGACCCAGUACUAGCCAACCUUAUCCAGUACAUCAUCGCUCAAGAGCAUUUGAACCAGCGAGUAAUGGAUUAUCUCCAGAGUCUCGCUGAUUUAAAUCCCCAGAUUGCAAUCGGCAGAUCACUGAGACCCGACCCGGAGAGACGCAUACAUCGACUGGUCAAUCCACUGCCUCCGAUAGAAGAGGAGUGUAUCCCUUUACCAGAGACAUUUUAUCAGGACCACACCCAGUUACCGUUUUCAUUUUAGACGUCACUACUGUAUUUGUGUUUGCAGCAUUUAUAUUUGCAUUGUAACUUAUGCGUGGUACCUCAAAUUUGUGCGAUGAGUCUAGUGUUUAGUUUCUACUGGUAUGAGUAAUUUCUGUCGCGAAUAACUGGUGUAACCGCGAAAAUCCUAGUAUGAGAUUUCUUUUCCCCUGAGUCGCUGCAUCGUUUGUCCUCUCACGGCAUGGAUUAUUUUUUUUUACGCAGCACCACGGCAGCAGGCUCACAACCGCUCCGUACACAUAUGGAGUAUUUAUUUUUCACAACGGCCCUUAGCAAAUCUCGAGGACGAGAUUUUUUUUAAGGGGGGUAGUAUUGUAACACCCCAAAAAUUUAACCAGGUUUUAGUUAUUAAAAUUUUGCCAAGAGUUUAAAAUUUUUGCCUGCAAGAAUAUAUCUGUUGAUUUCAAAACUUUUCUUUUAAUAUUAAGGAAUUUUUCCCAAGUGGAUCCUUCCAAAUCAUAUUGGACUUAUUUUCUCCCUCAUUUAAAAACAUCUCUCAAUCAGGAGAUUUAUUUAUUAAACUAUUUCACUCUGAGCUUUAUUCCUUAAAAUGACUUUCUUUAAGUUUUGGAGCUCUUUUUGAACUACAACCAUUUGAUAGAUUUAUCUAAAAAAUCCAACCAAAAUUUGGAGGUGUCUUGUGAUGUUUUUAAAUCACUCUUAUCCAAAAAUAUCUUUUAUUCUUGAAAUAUUUUGAGUGCUACACAUGUUUUUCUUCUCUGGUUCAGAGAGCAAUUUUACACUACAACCUAUUUAAAUAUUUCUUUAAAACUUCUACCAAAAUUAGGGGAGGUCAGUAGGAGCAUAUUAUUCCACUCUGUGCAAAAACCCAUUUAUGUUCUUUGAAAAAUUUGAGUGAAACAACCUCUUUUCCAUUCUGGUCCAAUUGAGGAUUUGUACAGCAACCACCAUUUUAGUUGAUCCUAUAUCCAUGACUCCUUUUUCUACUGGUAGUCCCGCUUGCCAAACCCUUAAGUCCAGGAGAGUUGACCCAUUGGAUGAUUCUAAGUACUUGCAACAAUGCCAUUUGCUUUCUGUCCAGAAUUGAAGUUUUGCAAAACUUGCACUAGCAAGUUUCUCCUUUCUGCAAACUAACUUCACCACCCUCUCUUUCAUCCACAGAGACACUAGUAUGGAAGAUUUGGCCCCUCCAAGAAUAGCCUAGGUGCCUUUGGCAUUUUGACAAACACCUAGAGUGCAUGGACUGAAUUGGCAUGAUCUCAAGUCUACACUAUGAACUUGCACCUCUGAUCAAACAAGCAAGUCCACUAGACUCCCCGUUACUCCUAACCUAGAUCUGCUAAAUGCCAGCCUCACCCAAGCUCUGUAGCAUGCUCUGGCAUUACGUCGAGCACGUCCCGUGCACGCCCAGAGCGCGAGCAGAGCGUGCGUUUGGCACGCACGUGCGCCCGAGCCGCCGCGUCGCGCCACCUACCCCCGCUCGCCCGCAGAGCCGCGCCCGACCUCAUCCACUCGCAAGAAUCGUCCAAAGCCGCACAGCGCCACCGUCAGGGCACUUUUGGCGGCACGCCGGCGUCGGCCGACAGCCUCUGCUCCGUUCGGCGCCGCCCAAGCCACCUCGGCCCGCCACCUGGCCCUAGCACAGCCCGAGCUCAUCCACAAGGGCGUCGCCUAGCCCUCGUCGUCGCCACGACGCCCUGCGGCUACAGAAAGACGGUCGCCGACGAGCUUAUCCACGGCCGCCGCGGAACCGCCUUGCCUCGCCUAUAUAAGGGACCCCGAGCCCCUCUGAGCACGCAAGCAAACUCAGUACACUCCUCCAGUUCCCCCAUGGCAGCCAAUCGACCCGAGGGGGGCGUCUUCCUCAUCUCCGGCAACCCCAGCCGCCGCCGCUGUCUCGACCAUUCUGGCGCCACCAAAGCUUCCCCCUCCCCGUUCUCUUCGCCAAGAACUCCCCCUUCCUCUCUCGAGUGCAACCCCUCAAUCAAUUUUGGCAGGAGACCACCGCCGCCCCAAAACCACUUCGCCACCGAAGCCUUCCUCCACCACAGAGUUCGCUGCCGGCAGCUCACUCCGUCCCCAUCACUUCCUCGACCAUCGGAAGAACCGCCCAGUCGUGCGGAUCCAUCCCCACCCUCGGGGGCCCGCGAGGAGCAGCCGAACGCCGGCGACGAUCGCCGGAGUCCCGCCUCCGCUCGGGACAGAGGGAGAAGGAGGGAGAGGCGACUGGUCAAACCUGACCAGUGGGCCCCCUGGACCCACUGUCAGUGACCCACCCCGCCGCCACGCGUGUUAAGUGAAAGCGUAAAACCCCAAGUACGUAACCCUACUUAGAAAGCAUAUUUCUGCCGAAACGUUUUCUUUUCUGUUUUAUUAUUAAAAACAGAUUUUGACCAAAUCUUUGACUGGUUAUAUCUUUUUAAAUAUAAAUCCAAAUUGACUGAUUCUUUUUCCUACCCCUCUCAAAUUUCACCUAGUUUAUUUUAAGAUUUAUUGGAAAAAAAUUCAGAACAACUUUUGGUGUUGUUUUUAUUUUGUGUGUUAAUUCUUUUAUAUUGCCAAAAUAGGAUUUUUGAAGAGAGGAGAAAUGUUUCAAGUUUUGGAGUGCACCCUGCCUUUCCACACAUUGAAGGCAAGCAUUCUGAACCCCGGCAUAAUAUUUUUGGUGUGUUCGUUGACAUGUUUAUAACACCACCUCAUUUCGAAGGACUUGUUAUUUCAUGUGAUAUGAUCAUUUGCAUGGAUGCAUAUUGGUGAUUUCCAUGCUGUUGGAAAUGAGUAUACUUGUGAUGGUAAUCAUCCUCAUGUAUCUUGCAUGCAUGCCGGAGAGGAAUCCGGGAAAGCCUCUGCCUUGGGUAGGCGUGAGCUUGUCGCCGGUCUCCGUCGGGACGGGUAUGUCCGGUAUGGCAUGGUAAGAUAUAAUGAGUGUUGGUUGUAUUGGUUGAAAUAUAUUUGUUAUACAUGUCAUGCAGGAAACUAUAAACCUCCUGAGUCGACCAUAGAUCGAGUCUUGUGCCAGUAACCCCCAUACUUGUUUCGUACUACCACUCGUCUCUACAGCAAGUAGAGUACGGUUCAGUAAGUUGUCAACCUCUUUCUAGCACAUACCGUACAGAGAGGCCGUGGUGGAAGAUACCGGUUGUAGCUGGUAGGCAGGCCACCUGGUCCGGGGGCAUGGGUGUUUCCGGUUGGGACCGAGAGGGGAGGCCACCCCUUAGAGCGCGCGAUAUAAAUUUGAUCCCAUGCUACGCGAGGUUGUAGCCUCCCCACUUAGAGUUUGCUUAACAGGUGUCGUGGGUGAUUCCAGACACAUGUGAGUUAAGCUGGUGUGUGCAAGUUAGGUGUGUUUUCAACUAAAAGACCGUAGACGGAAUUAGUCCCGAUGGACUAAAGAAAUUCGUUACUCGUGGAUAAAGAGUACACCCUCUGCAGAGAUUAAAACCUAUUCGAAUAGCCGUGUCCAUGGUUAAGGACUACAGUCUGGGACGGGUCAAGUGUCGGUCUUCGGAGGUGAUAACUGUUAACCAGAACGGGAAUUACUACUGGUGACUUGUGGUAAUUAUGAUUAUCAUUAUUGUUUGACUAACCCGUGAUAUUAUUGUUAUUAUUGAGUAUCUCUGGGAUGGUUCUACCUCCGGGAUAUUCACUAUGAUUGUUCAUUUUAAAAGCCCUUUAUGCGGUGUCGCUCAGACGCCCGACUGUGGCAUUUCUUUUAAAGCCCUUUAUGUGGUGUCGCUCAGACGCCCGACUGUGGCAUUUUUUAAAAGCCCUUUAUGUGGUGUCGCUCAGACGCCCGACUGUGGCAUUUCUUUAAAAGCCCUUUAUGUGGNNNNNNNNNNNNNNNNNNNNNNNNNNNNNNNNNNNNNNNNNNNNNNNNNNNNNNNNNNNNNNNNNNNNNNNNNNNNNNNNNNNNNNNNNNNNNNNNNNNNNNNNNNNNNNNNNNNNNNNNNNNNNNNNNNNNNNNNNNNNNNNNNNNNNNNNNNNNNNNNNNNNNNNNNNNNNNNNNNNNNNNNNNNNNNNNNNNNNNNNNNNNNNNNNNNNNNNNNNNNNNNNNNNNNNNNNNNNNNNNNNNNNNNNNNNNNNNNNNNNNNNNNNNNNNNNNNNNNNNNNNNNNNNNNNNNNNNNNNNNNNNNNNNNNNNNNNNNNNNNNNNNNNNNNNNNNNNNNNNNNNNNNNNNNNNNNNNNNNNNNNNNNNNNNNNUCGCUCAGACGCCCGACUGUGGCAUUUCUUUUAAAGCCCUUUAUGUGGUGUCGCUCAGACGCCCGACUGUGGCAUUUCUUUUAAAGCCCUUUAUGUGGUGUCGCUCAGACGCCCGACUGUGGCAUUUCUUUAAAAGCCCUUUAUGUGGUGUCGCUCAGACGCCCGACUGUGGCAUGCUUGUUAUUUAUUUCAUAAUUUUUAAUACUUCUAUGGCAUUGCAUGUUCAUACAUCAGAGUUAUAUUUAUCUUUGUGACUGACGUCAUGAGCAUAAAAUAUUGUCAGCACAUCAUUGUUAUAUUAUACCUGUGUUCAAAAUGUUUGCGAGUACAUUCAAAGUACUCACUGGCUUGUCCCUGUCUAUUGUCUUGGCCAGAUUUUCUUGCACGGAAAGGAGCGACGCGAUGACAGCCCCGGAACCUAAGCAAUGGAGAUAGCAGCCUCGCGAAGAUAGGAGUUAACCUGGUCAGCUGUUCCACUGGGAAUUGGAGUCCCAGAAUGGCCUUGUACCACAUAUUUUGUAUUUUGCUUGGGAUUUCUGUAUCAAGUUGGAGCCUCAUCAGCUAACAGUAAUCCUGGGGCUGAUGAGCACGACGGUCUUUUUCGGGAAAUUUAUUACCCGGAAAACCGGUCGUGACAUCUGCCUACUACCUCGGGGAGGAAGACAACAGGAGGCGCCAGGUGGGCUGGGCCAGCGAGCUGGGCUGCACAGUGUUGGGCCUCUGGGCUGUAGGUAAGCGCCAGGUAGGGUCAGGUGAGCCUCUGUUCUUUUCCUAUUUUUAUUUUCUGUUAUUUUGUUUUGAUUUAGUUUGAGAACUAAAUCAUUUUAAAACUUUCUGUAAAUUUUUGUGUGAGCUCAGAGAGAUAGUCCAAGGCCACAUGCAAAUUUCCAAAAAUAUUUGAACAUUAUUUCUUAUAUAGCAGAAAUAAUUCCAACCCAAAUAUGUUAUUGAUUUGAAUCAAAGGCCCAAAAUAAAUUAUUUCUGUGCCUCCAAAAAUAUUGGUUUGAGUUUUACCUCAUGCCAAUAUUUUCACAGAAUAACAGGAACAUUUUCUUGGACUCAUUUGAUGAUAUUUAAAUGUUGGUUAUUUUUAGAGGUUUUUCCGAGGCUUUUGAAAAUUCCUCAAUUCAAGUUUCAUUUGAAUUUAAACAUGAUGCUCACAUGGAAACUAGCCUAGGUAAGACGAGAAUUAGGGACGUGACAACUCACCCCACUAAACAAGAAUCUCUCCCGAGAUUCAAGCGUAGGGUAAGAUGAAAGGGGAAUGCAAACUAACACAAUCUUCACGAUCCAGGUUGCACUUCAUAAGAACGUUGAUUCGAUCACCAUCAUUGUCUCGAUGCCUUGCUCUGAGAACUCCAACCAACAUGGCAACGAGAGGAAAGGAAAAUUCUAGAAGGAUCAAUCUUCUUGAAUAUCGAACAACUCAGGAUCAACUCACGGAGUGAGACAUUGAAACACCUCUCGAGCUGAGACAUGAAGCAUACAUCUAGAGGGAUGGAGUGGAACAGAUGGCGAAGGUUCACUAGGUAGACAACAAUCCCGCCUUAAGAGGGUGGUGAUUGGUUGUCAACGUAGCGAAGAGUUGAGUUGCCAUGAUACUAUAAUGAAACAUCUUAGAGGAGGUGACUCGUAGAAUAUAUCCCCCUUAAGUGGCAAAAGAAUUACCUUUGAUUCAGAGAUCAUAGAAACUCUGUAUUCCAGCCUAAGGCAAAUCACAAUUGAUCAGUAGAAGGAGUCCGGAUGAGUGACAUACCCGUACGAGUAUGUAUGAUGUGGAUUACCUUGUUGAAGACAAUGUCAUGGAUGAUUUUGCUUAUCAUCGGAAAUGGAUGGGACCCAUGGUAGAAUGGCACAAUGACGGUGCAAGCUGGGAGCAAAAUGCAAGUGCUGGGAAUGAUUCUAGUAACUGGGGAGAAAACCCAACAGUAGAGAAUGAUUCCACUAUUGGAAUGGUUAUAGCAUAACCGAGGAAAUCUGGGGCAAUCCCAGUUAGUGCCGGUGAUAGCACCUAGUGUUUGUGCGUGCUCUCAAGAACUUGAGCAUUUCCAUAAUCAUCAAGAUUUACCAACAUCCGUGUCAAGGGUGUUGACAACACAACAUACUACCAUGAUGAAUAGCGAUGGACGAUGCAGAUGCAAAGGAAGACAACACCUUCUUAGAUUUCACCUUAGCGAGGCCAAGGGAACGAAAUCUGGAUGAUCGACCGAGGGACAUUUAGCACUCCGCUUCUAAUGUUCUCCUUGGUGUACUAGCGUAUCCCAUUCAUAGAUAUGGUUUGAUAUCUAGAACAUCAGGUAAAGGUCGGACUUCGGGAGCACAAAAAUCCAUAAGGGACAACUAGGGAGUAAAUCCUAUGGGUUCCUUAUGGGGGAGGUGGCCAAUUUUCUCAAUCAAGAUGCUUCAAUAAUAGAUCUUCUGGCUAGUGUGUUGGCCAUGACAUCCACUUUACCGGGUUACACAGAGACCAAUAUUAUAGUUCUUGGGAAAUGUUCCAACCAUCAUAUCUGCCUGAGAUUAAGAUCUGGUUGGUGUAAGGAUAUUCCAGACUCAUCAAGUCUAGAGGAAAAAAAUGAAAGUUUGCAACAUAAAUCGACGAGAUGGUGAAGGAAAUAUGCCCUAGAGGCAAUAAUAAAGUUAUUAUUUAUUUCCUUAUUUCAUGAUAAAUGUUUAUUAUUCAUGCUAGAAUUGUAUUAACCGGAAACAUAAUACAUGUGUGAAUACAUAGACAAACAUAGUGUCACUAGUAUGCCUCUACUUGACUAGCUCGUUUAUCAAAGAUGGUUAUGUUUCCUAGCCAUGGACAAAAGAGUUGUCAUUUGAUUAACGGGAUCACAUCAUUAGGAGAAUGAUGUGAUUGACAUGACCCAAUCCGUUAGCCUAGCACUUGAUCGUUUAGUAUGUUGCUAUUGCUUUCUUCAUGACUUAUACAUGUUCCUGUAACUAUGAGAUUAUGCAACUCCCGUUUACCGGAGGAACACUUUGGGUGCUACCAAACGUCACAACGUAACUGGGUGAUUAUAAAGGAGUACAACAGGUGUCUCCAAAGGUACAUGUUGGGUUGGCGUAUUUCGAGAUUAGGUUUUGUCACUCCGGUUGUCGGAGAGGUAUCUCUGGGCCCUCUCGGUAAUGCACAUCACUAUAAGCCUUGCAAGCAAUGUGACUAAUGAGUUAGUUGCGGGAUGAUGCAUUACAUAACGAGUAAAGAGACUUGCCAGUAACGAGAUUGAACUAGGUAUUGGAUACCGACGAUCGAAUCUCGGGCAAGUAACAUACCGAUGACAAAGGGAACAACGUAUGUUGUUAUGCGGUUUGACCGAUAAAGAUCUUCGUAGAAUAUGUGGGAGCCAAUAUGGGCAUCCAGGUCCCGCUAUUGGUUAUUGACCAAGAAUAGUUCUAGGUCAUGUCUACAUAGUUCUCGAACCCGUAGGGUCCGCACGCUUAAGGUUUCGAUGACAGUUAUAUUAUGAGUUUUGAUGUACCGAAGGAGUUCGGAAUCCCGGAUGAGAUCGGGGACAUGACGAGGAGUCUCGAAAUGGUCGAGACGUAAAGAUCGAUAUAUUGUACGACUAUAUUCGGAGUUCGGAAAGGUUCCGAGUGAUUCGGGUAUUUUUCGGAGUACCGGAGAGUUACGGGAAUUUGCCGGGGAGUAUAUGGGCCUUAUUGGGCUUUAGGGGAAAGAGAGAGGAGUGGUUGGGCGCCCCCCCAAGGCCUAGUCCGAAUUGGACUAGGGGGAGGGGCUGCGCCCCCUCCUUCCUUCUCUUCUCUUCCCCCUUUCCUUGACUCCUACUCCUACUACUUGGAAGGGGGGAAUCCUACUCCCGGUGGGAGUAGGACUCCUCCUUGGUGCGCCUCCUCCUAGGCCGGCCACCCCCUCCCUUGCUCCUUUAUAUACGGGGGCAGGGGGCACCCCAUGACACACAAGUUGAUCUACGGAUCGUUCCUUAGCCGUGUGCGGUGCCCCCCUCCACCAUAUUCCACCUCGGUCAUAUCGUCGCGGAGUUUAGGCGAAGCCCUGCGCCGGUAGAACAUCAUCAUCGUCACCACGCCGUCGUGCUGACGGAACUCAUCCCCGACGCUUUGCUGGAUCGGAGCCCAGGGAUCGUCAUCGAGCUGAACGCGUGCUGAACUCGGAGGUGCCAUACGUUCGGUACUUGGAUCGAUCGGAUCGUGAAGACGUACGACUACAUCAACCGUGUUGUCAUAACGCUUCCGCUUUCGGUCUACGAGGGUACGUGGACAACACUCUCCCCUCUCGUUGCUAUGCAUCACCAUGAUCUUGCGUGUGCGUAGGAAAUUUUUUGAAAUUAUUACGUUCCCCAACAGUGGCAUCCGAGCCUAGGUUUUAUGCGUUGAUGUUAUAUGCACGAGUAGAACACAAGUGAGUUGUGGGCGAUACAAGUCAUACUGCAUACCAGCAUGUCAUACUUUGGUUCGGCGGUAUUGUUGGAUGAAGCGGCCCGGACCGACAUUACGUGUACGCUUACGCGAGACUGGUUUUACCGUCGUGCUUUGCACACAGGUGACUAGCGGGUGUCAGUUUCUCCAACUUUAGUUGAACCGAGUGUGGCUACGCCAGGUCCUUGCGAAGGUUAAAACAGCACCAACUUGACAAACUAUCGUUGUGGUUUUGAUGCGUAGGUAAGAACGGUUCUUGCUCAGCCCGUAGCAGCCACGUAAAACUUGCAACAACAAAGUAGAGGACGUCUAACUUGUUUUUGCAGGGCAUGUUGUGAUGUGAUAUGGUCAAGACGUGAUGAGAUAUAAGUUGUUGUAUGACAUGAUCAUGUUUUGUUGAAUUUAUCGGCAACUGGCAAUAGCCUUAUGGUUGUCUCUUUGUUGCAUAAAGAUGCAAGUGCCAAAUAAUUGCUUUACUUUAUCGCUAUGCGAUAGCAAUAGUUGCAAGAGCAAUAGUUGGCGAGACGACCAUGUGACAACACAUUGAUAUAGAUCAAGAUGAUGAAGAUCAUGGUGUCGUGCCGGAGACGAUAGAGAUCAUGACAGUAGUUUGGAGAUGGAGAUCAAAGGCGCAAGAUGAUCAUGGCCAUAUCAUGUCACAUAUUUUGAUUGCAUAUAAUGUUAUACAUCUUAUUCUGUUUUGAUUGACGGUAACAUUUUAAGAUGAUCUCUCACUAAUUAUCAAGAAGUGUUCUCCCUGAGUAUGCACCGUUGCGAAAGUUCUUCGUGCUGAGACACCACGUGAUGAUCGGGUGUGAUAGGCUCUACGUUCAAAUACAACGGGUGCAAAACAGUUGCACACGCGGAAUACUCAGGUUAAACUUGACGAGCCUAGCAUAUACAGAUAUGGCCUCGGAACACGGAGACCGAAAGGUUGAGCGUGAAUCAUAUAGUAGAUAUGAUCAACAUAGUGAUGUUCACCAUUGAAACUACUCCAUGUCACGUGAUGAUCGGACAUGGUUUAGUUGAUUUGGAUCACGUGAUCACUUAGAUGACUAGAGAGAUGUUUGUCUAAGUGGGAGUUCUUAAGUAAUAUGAUUAAUUGAACUUAAAUUUAUCAUGAACUUAGUCCUGGUAGUAUUUUGCAAAUUAUGUUGUAGAUCAAUAGCUUGCGUUGUUGCUUUCAUAUGUUUAUUUUAAUAUGUUCCUAGAGAAAAUUGUGUUGAAAAAUGUUAGUAGCAAUGAUGCGGAUUGGAUCCGUGAUCUGAGGUUUAUCCUCAUUGAUGCACAGAAGAAUUAUGUCCUUGAUGCACCGCUAUGUGACAGACCUAUUGCAGAAGCAGAUGCAGACGUUAUGAACAUUUAGCUAGCACAAUAUGAUGACUACUUGAUAGUUUAGUGCACCAUGCUUAACGGCUUAGAAUCGGGACUUCAAAGACGUUUUGAACGUCAUGGACCAUACGAGAUGUUCCAGGAAUUGAAGUUAAAUAUUUCAAGCAAAUACCCAAGUUGAGAGAUAUGAAGUCUCCAACAAGUUCUAUAGCUAAAAGAUGGAGGAGAAUCGCUCAACUAGUGAGCAUGUGCUCAGAUUGUUUGGGUACUUCAAUCGCUUGAAUCAAGUGGGAGUUAAUCUUCCAGAUAAGAUAGUGAUUGACAGAAUUCUCUAGUCACCAUCACUAAGUUACUAGAACUUCGUGAUGAACUAUAGUAUGCAAGGGAUGACGAAAAUGAUUCCCGAGCUCUUCGUGAUAUUGAAAUCGACGAAGGUAGAAAUCAAGAAAGAGCAUCAAGUGUUGAUGAUUGACAAGACCACUAGUUUCAAGAAAAGGGCAAAGGGAAAGAAAGGGAACUUCAAGUGGAAAGACAAGCAAGAUUGUCACUCCUGCGAAGAAGCCCAAAUCUGGACCAUAGCCUGAAACUGAGUGCUUACACUGCAAAGGAAAUGGUCACUGGAAGCGAAAAUGCCCUAAACAUUUGGUGGAUAAGAAGGAUGGCAAAGUGAACAAAGGUAUAUUUGAUAUACAAGUUAUUGAUAUAUGUGUGUUACUAGUGUUUAUAGUAGCCCCUGAGUAUUUGAUACUUGUUCGGUUGCUAAGAUUAGUAACUCGAAACAGGAGUUACAGAAUAAACAUAGACUAGUUGAAGGGGAAGUGACGAUGAGUGUUGGAAGUAGUUCCAAGAUUGAUAUGAUCAUCAUCGCACACUCCCUAAACUUUCGGGAUAAGUGUUAAACCUAAAUAAAUGUUAUUUAGUGUUUGCUGAGCAUGAAUAUGAUUUGAUCGUCUUUAUUGCAAUACGGUUAUUCAUUUAAAGUCAGAGAAUACUUGUUGUUCUGUUUACAUGAAUAAAACCUUCAAUGGUCAUACACCCAAUGAAAAUAGUUUAUUGGAUCUCGAUCGUAGUGAUACACAUAUUCAUAAUAUUGAUGCCAAAAGAUGCAAAGUUAAUAAUGAUAGUGCAACUUUAUUGUGACACUGCCGUUUGGGUCAUAUCGGUAUAAAGCGCAUGAAGAAACUCCAUAAAGAUGGAUUUUCGGAAUCACUUGGUUAUGAAUCAUUUGAUGCUUGCGAAUCGUGCCUUUUGGGCAAGAUGACUAAAACUCCGUUCUUCGGAACAAUGGAAUGAGCAACAAACUUGUUUGGAAAUAAUACAUACUGAUGUAUGCAGACCAAUGAGUAUUAAGGCUCGUGGCGAGUAUCGUUAUUUUCUGACCUUCACGGAUGAUUUGGGCAGAUAUGGGUAUAUCUACUUGAUGAAACAUAAGUCUGAAAUAGUUGAAAGGUUCAAAGAAUUUUAGAGUGAAGUGGAAAAAUCAUCGUAACAAGAAAAUAAAGUUUCUGCGAUCUGAUCGCGGAGACGAAUAUUUGAGUUACGAGUUUGGUCUUCAAUUAAAACAAUGUGGAAUAGUUUCACAGCUCAUGCCACCUGGAACACCAAAACGUUAUGGUGUGUCCGAACAUCGUAACCGCACUUUAUUGGAUAUGGUGCGAUCUAUGAUGUCUCCUACUGAUUUACCACUAUUGUUUUGGGGUUAUGCAUUAGAGACAGCUGCAUUCACGUUAAAAGGGCACCAUCUAAAUCCAUUGAGAUGACACUAUAUGAAUUGUGGUUUAGCAAGAAACCCAAGUUGUCGUUUCUUAAAGUUUGGGGCUACGAUGCUUAUGUGAAAAAGUUUCAACCUGAUAAGCUCGAACCCAAAUCGGAGAAGUGCGUCUUCAUAGAAUACCCAAAGGAAACUGUUGGGUACACCUUCUAUCACAGAUCCGAAGGCAAAACAUUCGUUGCUAAGAAUGGAUCCUUUCUAGAGAAGGAGUUUCUCUCGAAAGAAGUGAGUGGGAGGAAAGUAGAGCUUGAUGUAAUUUGUACCUUCUCCCGAAUUGGAAAGUAGUUCAUCACAGAAAUCAGUUCCAGUGAUUCCUACUCCAAUUAGUGAGGAAGCUAAUGAUGAUGAUCAUAAAGCUUCAGAUCAAGUUACUACCGAACUUUGUAGAUCUUCCAGAUUAAGAUCCGCACCAGAGUAGUACGGUAAUCCUAUUCUGGAAGUCAUGUUACUAGACCAUGAUGAACCUACGAACUAUGAGGAAGCGAUGAUGAACCCAGAUUCCGCAAAAUGGUUUGAGGCCAUGAAAUCUGAGGUGGGAUCCAUGUAUGAGAACAAAGUGUGGACUUUGGUGGACUUUCCCAAUGAUCGGCAAGCCAUAGAAAAUAAAUGGAUCUUCAAGAGGAAGACGGACGCUGAUAGUAGUGUUACUAUCUACAAAGCUAGACUUGUCGAAAAAGGUUUUUGACAAAGUUCAAGGUGUUGAAUACAAUGAGAUUUUCUCACUUGUAUCGAUGCUUAAAAGUCUGUCCGAAUCAUGUUAGCAAUUUCCACAUUUUAUGAAAUUUGGCAAAUGGAUGUCAAAACUACAUUCCUUAAUGGGUUUAUUAAAGAAGAGUUGUAUAUGAUACAACCAGAAGGUUUUGUCAAUCCUAAAGGUGCUAACGAAAUGUGCAAGCUCCAGCGAUCCAUCUAUGGACUGGUGCAAGCAUCUCAGAGUUGGAAUAUACACUUUGAUAAGUUGAUCAAAGCAUAUAGUAUUAUACAGACUUGCGGUGAAGCCUGUAUUUACAAGAAAGUGAGUGGGAGCUCUAUAGCAUUUCUGAUACUACAUGUAGAUGACAUAUUGUUGAUCGGAAAUGAUAUAGAAUUUCUGGAUAGCAUAAAGGGAUACUUGAAUAAAAGUUUUUCAAUGAAAGACCUCGGUGAAGCUGCUUACACAUUGAGCGUCAAGAUCUAUAUAGAUAGAUCAAGAUGCUUGAUAAAAAAUUUCAAUGAGUACAUACCUUGAUAAAUUUUUGAAAUAGUUCAAAAUAGAACAGUCAAAGAAGGAGUUCUUGCCUGUGAUGCAAAGGUGUGAAGUUGAGUAAGACUCAAGACCCGACCAUGGCAGAAAAUAGAAAGAGAAUGAAAAGUCAUUAACUAUGCCUCAGUCAUAGGUUCUAUAAAGUAUGCUAUGCUAUGUACCAGACCUAUUGUAUACCUUGCUCUUUAUUUGGCAAGGGAGUACAAUAGUGAUCUAGGAGUAGAUCACUGGACAUUGGUCAAGAAUAUCCUUAGUGAGGACUAAGGAAAUAUUUCUCGAUUAUGGAGGUGAUUAAAGAGCCCGUCGUAAAGAGUUACAUCGGUGCAAGUUUUUACAUCGAUCCAGAUGACUCUAAGUCUCAAUCUGGAUACAUACUGAAAGUGGGAGCAAUUAGCUAGAGUAACUCCGUGCAGAGCAUUGUAGACAUAGAAUAUUUGCAAAAUACAUGCGGCUCUGAAUGUGACAGAACCGUUGACUAAGCUUCUCUCACGAGCAAAACAUGAUCACACCUUAGUACUCUUUGGGUGUUAAUCACAUAGCGAUGUGAACUAGAUUAUUGACUCUAGUAAACCCUUUGGGUGUUGGUCACAUGAUGAUGUGAACUAUGGCUGUUAAUCAUAUACAGAUAUGAAUAUUGAUGUUAAAUCACAUGGUGAUGUGAACUAGAUUAUUGACUCUAGUGCAAGUGGGAGACUGAAGGAAAUAUUCCCUAGAGGCAAUAAUAAAGUUAUUAUUUAUUUCCUUAUUUCAUGAUAAAUGUUUAUUAUUCAUGCUAGAAUUGUAUUAACCGGAAACAUAAUACAUGUGUAAAUACAUAGACAAACAUAGUGUCACUAGUAUGCCUCUACUUGACUAGCUCGUUUAUCAAAGAUGGUUAUGUUUCCUAGCCAUGGACAAAAGAGUUGUCAUUUGAUUAACGGGAUCACAUCAUUAGGAGAAUGAUGUGAUUGACAUGACCCAUUCCGUUAGCCUAGCACUUGAUCGUUAUGUUGCUAUUGCUUUCUUCAUGACUUAUACAUGUUCCUGUAACUAUGAGAUUAUGCAACUCCCAUUUACCGGAGGAACACUUUGGGUGCUACCAAACGUCACAACGUAACUGGGUGAUUAUAAAGGAGUACUACAGGUGUCUCCAAAGGUACAUGUUGGGUUGGCGUAUUUCGAGAUUAGGUUUUAUCACUCCGAUUGUCGGAGAGGUAUCUCUAGGCCCUCUCGGUAAUGCACAUCACUAUAAGCCUUGCAAGUAAUGUGACUAAUGAGUUAGUUGCGGGAUGAUGCAUUACAUAACGAGUAAAGAGACUUGCCGGUAACGAGAUUGAACUAGGUAUUGGAUACCGACGAUCGAAUCUCGGGCAAGUAACAUACCGAUGACAAAGGGAACAACGUAUGUUGUUAUGCGGUUUGGCCGAUAAAGAUCUUCGUAGAAUAUGUGGGAGCCAAUAUGGGCAUCCAGGUCCCGCUAUUGGUUAUUGACCAAGAAUAGUUCUAGGUCAUGUCUACAUAGUUCUCGAACCCGUAGGGUCCGCACGCUUAAGGUUUCGAUGACAGUUAUAUUAUGAGUUUUGAUGUACCGAAGGAGUUCGGAGUCCCGGAUGAGAUCGGGGACAUGACGAGGAGUCUCGAAAUGGUCGAGACGUAAAGAUUGAUAUAUUGGACGACUAUAUUCGGAGUUCGGAAAGGUUCCGAGUGAUUCGGGUAUUUUUCGGAGUACCGAAGAGUUACGGGAAUUCGCCGGGGAGUAUAUGGGCCUUAUUGGGCUUUAGGGGAAAGAGAGAGGAGAGGUUGGGCGCCCCCCCAAGGCCUAGUCCGAAUUGGACUAGGGGGAGGGGCUGCGCCCCCUCCUUCCUUCUCUUCUCUUCCCCCUUUCCUUGACUCCUACUCCUACUACUUGGAAGGGGGGAAUCCUACUCCCGGUGGGAGUAGGACUCCUCCUUGGUGCGCCUCCUCCUAGGCCGGCCACCCCCUCCCUUGCUCCUUUAUAUACGGGGGCAGGGGGCACCCCAUGACACACAAGUUGAUCUACGGAUCGUUCCUUAGCCGUGUGCGGUGCCCCCCUCCACCAUAUUCCACCUCGGUCAUAUCGUCGCGGAGUUUAGGCGAAGCCCUGCGCCGGUAGAACAUCAUCAUCGUCACCACGCCGUCGUGCUGACGGAACUCAUCCCCGACGCUUUGCUGGAUCGGAGCCCGGGGAUCGUCAUUGAGCUGAACGUGUGCUGAACUCGGAGGUGCCGUACGUUCGGUACUUGGAUCGGUCGGAUCGUGAAGACGUACGACUACAUCUACCACGUUGUCAUAACGCUUCCGCUUUCGGUCUACGAGGGUACGUGGACAACACUCUCCCCUCUCGUUGCUAUGCAUCACCAUGAUCUUGCGUGUGCGUAGGAAAUUUUUUGAAAUUACUACGUUCCCCAAUAGAUGGUGCUGCGAGAUUCUCAGGAAAUGAACUACGAUAGCAAGCUCCAAAAGAUGAGCCGGUUCUGCUACACACAUGUGAACACGCUGUCCCAAACAGGCGUGGUCACCUGGUAGUCUUACAACGAAACACUACCGAGUUCAGGUGGAAAACCAUCAUUGCGGAUAACGGAGUCCUUGAUUAAGCCCGGGUUAGCUCUUAAAAGGAACUCCUUCUCCUGGAACAAAUCAGUCAGUGGCUUGGUGUGCUAAGGAUACAUAUAGAAUGAAGGUUGCAAGUCUCCAAACCACAUAAUACUUCGCACGUAUGCAUGACCGACUUGGGAUGAUUCCAAAGGAAGCAACAUUAACUUUCUCGAAUCCACGGCGGCAACUUGCAUCAAAUGCACAUGAAUUAGAGGAAGCCACUUCUUCCAUCUGAACAUAUGCUUCAUGAGCUAGCAUGAAGAAAUGCUUUCAAAGGUUUCCAACACUAGCUUAAUGGUCAACAAAAUUAUGGAGAAGGCAAGGAUGUUGUCGAUGGGCUCAAUCAACAACAACUCAUCCAGGUUUCCAUAAAAAUGGAAUUCCAUAAUUAUGAGAACAAGUGAUAGUAUUGGUCAGACCAAAGGAUAUAAUGGUGUAUGCUUGAGGGAUCAACCACGAGUAAGACAACAUUAAGAACAUCGUUGGUUCUGAUUUGAUUUGAGGAUAGCCCACACUCAAAUCAAAGUUUUGAUAAGACAAUAGAUCCAGCAAUUGGUCACGGGGAUCAAUCGAUGAAGAUAUCAUCUUUCUUCAACACACAUAUACAAAAGAUAUCCCUUUGAAAUGAACUAAGUUAGGCAAAGCUUUUAUCUUCCAACUCUCCAAGUUGUUGUUUAGCUCAACCAACUAGUUCAGGGUAUCCAACACGGAUUCUUGGAGAAAGGGUGGUUUACAGGAAUAAACUAACUUGAUCAUGAACUCAACAUAAGGAUGAGGGGACAACCUGGUAAUACUUCCGAGAAGAUAUUCGGGAAAUCACGAACCACCGAUAUGUUACUAAGCUCGAGAACAAUCUUGCUUUUCAGGGCAAGACGAUAUGAUCAAUAGAGCGAAGGUUUGAGAUAAUCCUAACUCAUCGAUCGAGGAGUGCACCAGUAGAAUGGACUAGGUAGCACGAUCAAUCUUAGAAUGAUGAUUCAAUAACCAACAUGCUAAGAAUGAAAUUAUUGUCCUUUAACUACCAAGCAACAGAGUUGCUAGGAGUAUUGAGUUCACACAUCACGAUUCACUUGUCGGCACUCCGGCUGCAACAACACGGAACCGAGGAAUGAAUAAUGAUGGCGAGAAGUAUCACUAUGUCAAGAAUUCACGAGAGAUGGUGCAAUUCUCAUGGCAAUCCCGACGUAAAGAGGGUAACACUCCAAGGUGGAACAGAACAAAAGCUGGAUUAGCAUUUUGAUCUGCGGAACACAACUGUUUUGACCCAAUCCUAGAAAUGGAUAAGGUACUGGAGUUUGUUUCUCCUAGUCAUUCUGGAAUAGAAUGGCUUGACGGACCACAAGAGUAAUAGGCAUCGAUAAACACCAUUGCACAACUACUCCUUACUAUCAAUUGAUAGACGAGGAUCAGAAUACAACUAAAGGGGGACAACUCAAAAGAACAUACGAUUUUCUGAGUUGUGGAUGCAUAGAUUAGUAUGUCGAACCAAGUUCAACAGGUUUCUUCCGGAUAACCCAUACAGAGAGGUAGGUUUGGCAGAAUCGUAAUAUAGAAGGGGGAACUCAUCGAGGGCACUCUUGUUGUGAUCUUUUGGUUCCCGAACUUCUUCCAUAUUGGUUCAUGGUAUUGGAAGAAGGAAAUGCCACGGACCUCGAGGACUAUCGCAAAGGUUACUAACAACCUAAAGGAACUAGCAAAUACUACCAACAAGAAGUAGGUAGGGUGAAUCUCGGGUUCAGAAACCCAGGGGUAGAAUGCCUACUAACUAAGUGGCAUCACGGGAUGCUUUAGAGAAUGAUGGCCAGAAUCAUCACACUGGGAACACAAAACAUGGCUAGAUUACUAGAUGAUCCCCUAAGACACCUAGGGUCAUAAUAAUAAUUCCAACAUAUAUGUCGAGGCAAUAGAAUACCUCAACUCAACAAUUAAUGUGAUUAACCUGGCCUAAAGGAACAUCGAAACCAGAUGGAAAGGAUUUUGGAAAUGCAUCAGAUUGUUUAGAAACCUGGGACGACUCGGACAACAUAACGGUUGUAAAUGCUCGAAAGGUUUUAAGACAUCCUGCAAAAUGGUGGCAUAACAACUCAAUCAUCAUAAUAUCAAGGUUCUGAGAUCAACUGUGAAUACAUAGAGAUAGUAGAAACUGAACUGAGGUUCUUUGUCAACUGCUUCAUCAAAGCGGACGGCAAAGAACCUUUGCCGUCAGUUGUGGACGGCAAAGAAAACAGACAACAACUAAUAGGCGUUAGCCACGUUAGGUGGCUAAUGGCAGCCUUUGCCGUCCGCUGGCGGACGGCAAAGUAACCAAAUGGUCAACCCUUUGCCGUCGGUGGCAGACGACAAAUACGCUGCAUUUUCUGUUUUUUCUUAUGCUCUAUUCUGUAAGGGGGUGAUUUAGACCCAUAUGUUUAGUGCUAUGGUUAGAUUUAUCUUAGUUCUUCUUUCGUAGUUGCGGAUGCUUGCGAGGGUAGUUAAUCAUAAGCGGGAAGCUUUUUCAAUUAAGAACAACACCCAAGCACCGGUCCACCUACAUAUCAAAUUAUCAAAGUAGCGAACGCGAAUCAAACAUACAUGAUGAAAGUGACUAGAUGAAUUUCCUGUGUGUCCUCAAGAAUGCUUAGCUUAUUAUAAGAGACUGUUUCGGCCAGUCCUUUUCAACAAAAAGGAUUGGGCUACCUUGCGGCACCUUAGUUACUAUUGCUACUUGUUACAAAUUAUCUUGCUAUCAAAGUACUCGUUACCGAUAAUUUUAGUGCUUGCAGAAAAUACCUUGCCGAGAAUCGCUUGUCAUUUUCUUCUGCUCCUUGUUGGGUUCGACACUCUUACUUAUCAAAAGGACUACGAUAGAUCCCCUAUACUUGAAGGUCAUCAAAACUCUUUUCUAGCGCCAUUGCCGAGGAGUGAAGCGCCUUUGGUAGGUGGGAUUUGAUAGGGAAACAUUUAUAUUACGUGUUCAAAUUUAUUGUUACUUGUUACUAUGGAAAACAAUCCUUUGAGGGGUUUGUUCGGGUUAUCUUCACCUCGACCGGAAGCACAAAGAGUUGCUCCUUAACCUACUGUACCUACUGAAAAUAUUUAUUAUUAGAUUCAUUUGGGUAUGAUAAACUGCUAGCUAAUCCUUACGCAGGAGAAGGAACAUUACCUCAUGAUAUGCACCUAAUCUAUAUGGAUGAAAUUUGUGGAUUAUUUAAGGUUGCAGGUUGAUACGUCUCCAACGUAUCUAUAAUUUUUGAUUGUUUCAUGUUGUUAUAUUAUCAUUCUUGGAUGUUUUACAAUCGUUUUAUAUCAACUUUAUAUCAUUUUUUGGGACUAACCCAUUGACAUAGUGCCAAGUGUCAGUUGUUGUUUUUUGCUUGUUUUUUACUUCACAGAAUAUCCCUAUCAAAGGGAGUCCAAAUGCAGCGAAACUUUUUGAAGAUUUUUUUGGACCAGAAGACAACUUGGGAGCCAAGGAAGCACCUGGGGGAGGCCUAUGGGGCCCACAAGACACCAGGGCGCACCAGAGGCCCCUGGCGCACCCUGAUGGAUUGUGGGGCCCGCGGUGGUCUCCUGCACAACCUCUUCGCUCUAUAAAUUUUCAGAAAUUCCAAAAACCCUAGGGGAGCAGACGAAACACAAUUUCAGUCGUUGCAAGUUCCAGAACCAUGAGAUCCAAUCUAACACCAUCACGGAGGGGGUUUAUCAUCCUCAUUGGUGCCUCUCCGAUGAUGCGUGAGUAGUCCACCAUAGACCUAUGGGUUCGUAGGCAGUAGCUAGAUGGAUUCUUUUUUUUUUUGAUUCUCAAUAUAAUGGUCUCUUGAAGAUCUAUUUGAUGUAAUGACUUUUGCGGUGUGUUUGCUGGGAUCCGAUGAAUUUGGAGUUUAUGAUCAGUUUUUAUCCAUGAAUGUUAUUGGAGUCUUCUUUGAUCUCAUAUAUGCAUGAUUACUAAUAUGCUCGUAUUUUUCUUCGAAUCUUUGGUUUAGUUAGGACAACUAGAUCGAUUUUUCUUGCCAUGGGAGGAGGUGCUUUUGCAAUGGAAAUGCACAUUGAGAGCCGACCUGUCGUUGUCGUGGGAAUCAUCGCCGGUUCAAUGCAUGCUCAUGUGAACCCACACACCGGUGCCCAGACGAUGGUGAUGGUAAACGAGGAGUCAUGAAUGCGUCAAUACUCUAUUUCACAUAUUUCUCACCACGGAAAGAAGAGGACAAAGUUUGAAAAACAUCACUGACAAGCCACUAGGGGUAGCCAGUGAUAAAGUAGUAGCAGCACUGACGGUCCAUUUUGACAUCGGUCUGUGAUGAACAAUCGACCUCACUACAGUUGAGGAGGACAAUAAUAUAGACCGACCUAAUUUUAGCCAAUCUCACCUACGCAUCAAAACCACAACGAUACUUCGUCAAAUAGACUCCGUUUUAACCUUCUCAAGGACCGGGCGUAGCCGUACUCGGUUCAACUAAAGUGAGAGAGACAGACACCCGCCAGUCACCUUUAAGCAACGAGUGCUCGUAGUGGUGAAACCAAUCUCGCGUAAGCGUACGCGUAAUGUCGGUCCGGGCCGCUUCAUCUCACAAUACCGCUGAACCAAAGUAUGACAUGCUGGUAGGUAGUAUGACUUGUAUCGCCCACAACUCACUUGUGUUCUACUCGUGCAAAACAUCAAACCAUAAAAACCUAGGCUCGGAUGCCACUGUUGGGGAACGUAGUAAUUUCAAAAAAUUUCCUACGCACAUGCAAGAUCAUGGUGAUGCAUAGCAACGAGAGGGGAGAGUGUUGUCUACGUACCCUCGUAGACCGAAGCGGAAGCGAUCACAACGUAGAGGAAGUAGUCGUACGAUCUCCUCGCGAUCCAACCGAUCCUAGCGCCGUUACUCCAGCGCCCCCGAGUUCUUGACACACGUACAGCUCGAUGACGCUCCUCGGGCUCCAAUCCAGUAGAGCUUCGGGGAGGGAGAAUUCCGUCAGCACGACGGCGUGGUGACGAUCUUGAUGUUCUACCGGCGCAGGGCUUCGCCUAAGCUUUGCGACGAUAUGACCGAGGUGGAAUAUGGUGGAGGGGGCACCGCACACGGCUAAGGAACGAUCCGUAGAUCAACUUGUGUGUCCUAGGGUGCCCCCCUGCCCCCGUAUAUAAAGGAGCAAGGGGGGGUGCGGCCGGCCCUUGGAGGAGGCGCGCCGGAGGAGUCCUACUCCCACCGGGAGUAGGACUCCCCCCCUUUCCUAGUUGGAUUAGGAUUGGGGGGAGGGAAAGAGGGAAGGGGGGGCGCCGCCCCCCUCUCCUUGUCCUAUUCGGACUAGGGGGGGAGGGGGCGCGCGGCCAGCCCUGGCCGGCCCUUCCUCUUCUCCCUCAUGGCCCACUAAGGCCCAAUAACCCCCGGGAGGGUUCCGGUAACCCCCCGGUGUUCCGGAAAAAUCCCGAUUUCACCCGGAACCAUUCUGAACUCCAAAUAUAGGCUUCCAAUAUAUCAAUCUUUAUGUCUCGACCAUUUCGAGACUCCUCGUCAUGUCCGUGAUCACAUCCGGGACUCCGAACUUCUUCGAUACAUCAAAAUACACAAACUCAUAAUAUAACCGUCAUCGAAACCUUAAGCGUGCGGACCCUACGGUUCGAGAACAAUGUAGACAUGACCGAGACACGUCUCCGGUCAAUAACCAAUAGCGGGACCUGGAUGCCCAUAUUGGCUCCUACAUAUUCUACGAAGAUCUUUAUCGGUCAGACCGCAUAACAACAUACGUUGUUCCCUUUGUCAUCGGUAUGUUACUUGCCCGAGAUUCGAUCGUCGGUAUCCAAUACCUAGUUCAAUCUCGUUACCGGCAAGUCUCUUUACUCGUUCCGUAAUACAUCAUCUCACAGCUAACUCAUUAGUUGUAAUGCUUGCAAGGCUUAAGUGAUGUGUAUUACCGAGAGGGCCCAGAGAUACCUCUCCGACAAAUGGAGUGACAAAUCCUAAUCUCGAAAUACGCCAACCCAACAUCUGCCUUUGGAGACACCUGCAGUACUCCUUUAUAAUCACCCAGUUACGUUGUGACGUUUGGUAGUACCCAAAGUGUUCCUCCGGUAAACGGGAGUUGCAUAAUCUCAUAGUUAUAGGAACAUGUAUAAGUCAUGGAUAAAAGCAGUAGCAACAUACUAAACGAUCGUGUGCUAAGCUAAUGGAAUGGGUCAUGUCAAUCAGAUCAUUCAACUAAUGAUGUGACCUUGUUAAUCAAAUAACAACUCUUUGUUCAUGGUUAGGAAACAUAACCAUCUUUGAUUAACAAGCUAGUCAAGUAGAGGCAUACUAGUGACACUCUGUUUGUCUAUAUAUUCACACAUAUAUUAUGUUUCCGGUUAAUACAAUUCUAGCAUGAAUAAUAAACAUUUAUCAUGAUAUAAGGAAAUAAAUAAUAACUUUAUUAUUGCCUCUAGGGCAUAUUUCCUUCAGUCUUCCACUUGCACUAGAGUCAAUAAUCUAGAUCACAUCACCAUGUGAUUAACAUCGAUAGUUCACAUCAUCAUGUGAUUAACACCCAUAGUUCACAUCACCAUGUGACCAACACCCAAAGGGUUUACUAGAUUCAGUAAUCUAGUUCACAUCGCUAUGUGAUUAAUACCCAAAGAGUACUAAAGUGUGAUCAUGUUUUGCUUGUGAGAGAGUCUUAGUCAACGGGUCUUUCACAUUCAGAUCCGUUAUGUAUUUUGCAAUUUUUCUAUGUCUACAAUGCUCUGCACGAAGCUACUCUAGCUAAUUGCUCCCACUUUCAAUAUAUAUCUAGAUCGAGACUUAGAGUCAUCCAGAUCAGUGUCAAAACUUGCAUCGACAUAACCCUUUACGACGAACCUUUUGUCACUUCCAUAAUCGAGAAACAUAUCCUUAUUCCACUAAGGAUAAUAUUGACCGCUGUCCAGUGAUCUACUCCUAGAUAACUAUUGUACUCCCUUGCCAAACUCAGUGCAGGGUAUACAAUAGAUCUGGUACACAGCAUGGCAUACUUUAUAGAACCUAUGGCCAAGGUAUAGGGAAUGACUUUCAUUCUCUUUCUAUCUUCUGCCGUGGUCGGGUUUUGAGUCUUACUCAAUUUCACACCUUGUAACACAGGUAAGAACUCUUUCUUUGACUGUUCCAUUUUGAACUACUUCAAAAUCUUGUCAAGGUAUGUACUCAUUGAAAAAACUUAUCAAGCAUCUUGAUCUAUCUCUAUAGAUCUUGAUGCUCAAUAUGUAAGCAGCUUCACCGAGGUCUUUCAUUGAAAAACUCUUAUUCAAGUAUCCCUUUAUGCUAUCCAGAAAUUCUAUAUCAUUUCCGAUUAGUAAUAUGUCAUCUACAUAUAAUAUCAGAAAUGCUACAGAGCUCCCACUCACUUUCUUGUAAAUACAGGCUUCUCCAAAAGUCUGUAUAAACCCAAAUGCUUUGAUCACACUAUCAAAGCAUUUAUUCCAACUCCGAGAUGCUUGCACCAGUCCAUAAAUGGAUUGCUGGAGCUUGCACACUUUGUUAGCUCCCUUUGGAUCGAUAAAACCUUCUGGUUGCAUCAUAUACAACUCUUCUUCCAGAAAUCCAUUCAGGAAUGCAGUCUUUACAUCCAUUUGCCAAAUUUCAUAAAUUGUGGCAAUUGCUAACAUGAUUCGGACAGACUUAAGCAUCGCUACAGUUGAGAAAAUCUCAUUGUAGUCAACAUCUUGAACUUUGUCGAAAACCUUUUUGCAACAAGUCGAGCUUCGUAGAUAGUAACACUACUAUCAACGUCCGUCUUCCUCUUGAAGAUCCAUUUAUUUUCUAUGGCUUGCCGAUCAUCGGGCAACUCCACCAAAGUCCACACUUUGUUCUCAUACAUGGAUCUCAUCUCAGAUUUCAUGGCCUCAAACCAUUUUGCGGAAUCUGGGCUCAUCAUCGCUUCCUCAUAGUUCGUAGGUUUGUCAUGGUCAAGUAACACGACCUCCAGAACAGGAUUACCGUACCACUCUGGUGCGAAUCUCACUCUGUUUUACCUACGAGGUUCGGUAGUAACUUGAUCUGAAGUUACAUGAUCAUCAUCAUUAACUUCCUCACGAAUUGGUAUAGUAGUCACAAGAACAGAUUUCUGUGAUGAACUACUUUCCAAUAAGGGAACAGGUACAGUUACCUCAUCAAGUUCUACUUUCCUCCCACUCACUUCUUUCGAGAGAAACUUCUUCUCUAGAAAGGAUCCAUUUUAAGCAACGAAUAUCUUGCCUUCGGAUCUGUGAUAGAAGGUGUACCCAACAAUUUCCUUUGGGUAUUCUAUGAAGACGCACUUCUCCGAUUUGGGUUUGAGCUUAUCAGGAUGAAACUUUUCACAUAAGCAUCGCAACUCCAAACUUUAAGAAACGAUAACUUGGGUUUCUUGCUAAACCACAGUUCAUAUAGUGUCGUCUCAACGGAUUUAGAUGGUGCCCAAUUUAACGUGAAUGCAGCUGUCUCUAAUGCAUGAUCCCAAAACGAUAUUGGUAAAUCAGUAAGAAACAUCAUAGAUUGCACUAUAUCCAAUAAAGUGCGGUUACGAUGUUUGGACACACCAUAACAUUGUGGUGUUCCAGGUGGCGUGAGCUGUGAAACUAUUCCACAUUGUUUUAAUUGAAGACCAAACUCGUAACUCAAAUAUUCAUCUCCACGAUCAGAUUGCAGAAACUUUAUUUUCUUGUUACGAUGAUUUUCCACUUCACUCUGAAAUUCUUUGAACAUUUCAACUAAUUCAGACUUAUGUUUCAUCAAGUAGAUAUACCCAUAUCUGCUCAAAUCAUCCUGUGAAGGUCAGAAAAUAACGAUACUUGCCACGAGCAUCAACACUCAUUGGAUCGCAUACAUCGGUAUGUAUUAUUUCCAAUAAGUCAGUAGCUUGUUCCAUUGUUCCGGAGAACGGAGUUUUAGUCAUCUUGCCCAAAAGGCACGGUUCGCAAGCAUCAAGUGAUUCAUAAUCAAGUGAUUCCAAAAUCCCAUCAGCAUGGAGUUUCUUCAUGCGCUUUACACCAAUAUGACCUAAACGGCAGUGCCACAAAUAAGUUGCACUAUCAUUAUUAACUUUGCAUCUUUUGGUUUCAAUAUUAUGAAUAUGUGUAUCACUACGAUCGAGAUCCAAUGAACCAUUUUCAUUGGGUGUGUAACCAUAAAAGGUUUUAUUCAUGUAAACAGAAUAACAGUUUAUUCUCUUACUUAAAUGAAUAACCGUUAUUGCAAUAAACAUGAUCAAAUCAUAUUCAUGCUCAACGCAAACAACAAAUAACAUUUAUUUAGGUUCAACACUAAUCCCGAAAGUAUAGGGAGUGUGCGAUGAUGAUCAUAUCAAUCUUGAAACUACUUUCAACGUCCAUCGUCACUUCACCCUUAACUAGUUUCUGUUUAUUCUGCAACUCCUGCUUCGAGUUACUACUCUUAGCAACUGAACCAGUACCAAAUACCGAGGGGUUGCUAUAAACACUAGUAAAGUACACAUCAAUAACAUGUAUAUCAAAUAUACCUUUGUUUACUUUGCCAUCCUUCUUAUCCACCAAAUAUUCAGGGCAUUUCCGCUUCCAGUGACCAUUUCCUUUGCAGUGUAAGCACUCAGUUUCAGGCUUUGGUCCAGCUUGGAGCUUCUUUGCGGGAGUGACAACUUGCUUGUCUUUCCACUUGAAGUUCCCUUUCUUUCCCUUUGCCCUUUUCUUGAAACUAGUGGUCUUGUCAAUCAUCAACACUUGAUGCUCUUUCUUGAUUUCUACAUUCGUCGAUUUCAAUAUCACGAAGAACUCGGGAAUCAUUUUCAUCAUCCCUUGCAUACUAUAGUUCAUCACGAAGUUCUACUAACUUGGUGAUGGUGACUAGAGAAUUCUGUCAAUCACUAUCUUAUCUGGAAGAUUAACUCCCACUUGAUUCAAGCAAUUGAAGUACCCAGACAAUUUGAGCACAUGCUCACUAGUUGAGCGAUUCUCCUCCAUCUUUUAGCUAUAGAACUUGUUGAAGACUUCAUAUCUCUCAACUCGGGUAUUUGCUUGAAAUAUUAACUUCAACUCCUGGAACAUCUCAUAUUGUCCAUGACGUUUCAAAACGUCUUUGAAGUCCCGAUUCUAAGCUGUUAAGCAUGGUGCACUUAAACUAUCAAGUAGUCAUCAUAUUGAGCUAGCCAAACGUUCAUAACGUUUGCAUCUGCUCCUGCAAUAGGUCUGUCACCUAGCGGUGCAUUAAGGACAUAAUUCUUCUGUGCAGCAAUGAGGAUAAACCUCCGAUCACGGAUCGAAUCCGCAUCAUUGCUACUAACAUUUUUUCAACACAAUUUUCUCUAGGAACAUAUCAAAAACAAACAUAUGAAAGCAACAACGCGAGCUAUUGAUCUACAACAUAAUUUGCAAAAUACUACCAGGACUAAGUUCAUGAUAAAUUUAAGUUCAAUUAAUCAUAUUACUUAAGAACUCCCACUUAGACAGACAUCUCUCUAGUCAUCUAAGUGAUCACGCGAUCCAAAUCAACUAAACCAUAACCGAUCAUCACGUGAGAUGGAGUAGUUUUCAAUGGUGAACAUCUUAUGUUGAUCAUAUCUACUAUAUGAUUCACGCUCGACCUUUCGAUCUCCGUGUUCCGAGGCCAUAUCUGCAUAUGCUAGGCUCGUCAAGUAUAACCUGAGUAUUCUGCGUGUGCAAAACUGGCUUGCACCCGUUGUAGAUGGACGUAGAGCUUAUCACACCCGAUCAUCACGUGGUGUCUCGGCACGACGAACUUUGGCAACGGUGCAUACUCAGGGAGAACACUACUUGAUAAUUUUUAGUGAGAGAUCAUCUUAAAAUGCUACCGUCAAUCAAAGCAAGAUAAGAUGUAUAAAGGAUAAACAUCACAUGCAAUCAAUAUAAGUGAUAUGAUAUGGCCAUCAUCAUCUUGUGCUUGUGAUCUCCAUCUCCAAAGCACCGUCGUGAUCACCAUCGUCACCGGCGCGACACCUUGAUCUCCAUCGUAGCAUCGUUGUCGUCUACGCCACCUAUUGCUUCUACGACUAUCGCUACCGCUUAGUGAUAAAGUAAAGCAAUUACAGGGCGUUUGCAUUUCAUACAAUAAAGCGACAACCAUAUGGCUCCAGCCAGUUGCCGAUAACUUCGGUUACAAAACAUGAUCAUCUCAUACAAUAAAAUAUAGCAUCACGUCUUGACCAUAUCACAUCACAACAUGCCCUGCAAAAACAAGUUAGACGUCCUCUACUUUGUUGUUGCAAAUUUUACGUGGCUGCUACGGGCUUAAGCAAGAACCAAUCUCACCUACGCAUCAAAACCACAACGAUACUUCGUCAAAUAGACUCCGUUUUAACCUUCUCAAGGACCGGGCGUAGCCGUACUCGGUUCAACUAAAGUGAGAGAGACAGACACCCGCCAGUCACCUUUAAGCAACGAGUGCUCGUAGCGGUGAAACCAGUCUCGCGUAAGCGUACGCGUAAUGUCGGUCCGGGCCGCUUCAUCUCACAAUACCGCUGAACCAAAGUAUGACAUGCUGGUAGGUAGUAUGACUUGUAUCGCCCACAACUCACUUGUGUUCUACUCGUGCAAAACAUCAAACCAUAAAAACCUAGGCUCGGAUGCCACUGUUGGGGAACGUAGUAAUUUCAAAAAAUUUCCUACGCACACGCAAGAUCAUGGUGAUGCAUAGCAACGAGAGGGGAGAGUGUUGUCUACGUACCCUCGUAGACCGAAGCGGAAGCGAUCACAACGUAGAGGAAGUAGUCGUACGAUCUCCUCGCGAUCCAACCGAUCCUAGCGCCGUUACUCCAGCGCCCCCGAGUUCUUGACACACGUACAGCUCGAUGACGCUCCUCGGGCUCCAAUCCAGUAGAGCUUCGGGGAGGGAGAAUUCCGUCAGCACGACGGCGUGGUGACGAUCUUGAUGUUCUACCGGCGCAGGGCUUCGCCUAAGCUUUGCGACGAUAUGACCGAGGUGGAAUAUGGUGGAGGGGGCACCGCACACGGCUAAGGAACGAUCCGUAGAUCAACUUGUGUGUCCUAGGGUGCCCCCCUGCCCCCGUAUAUAAAGGAGCAAGGGGGGGUGCGGCCGGCCCUUGGAGGAGGCGCGCCGGAGGAGUCCUACUCCCACCGGGAGUAGGACUCCCCCCCUUUCCUAGUUGGAUUAGGAUUGGGGGGAGGGAAAGAGGGAAGGGGGGGCGCCGCCUCCCUCUCCUUGUCCUAUUCGGACUAGGGGGGGAGGGGGCGCGCGGCCAGCCCUGGCCGGCCCUUCCUCUUCUCCCUCAUGGCCCACUAAGGCCCAAUAACCCCCGGGAGGGUUCCGGUAACCCCCCGGUGUUCCGGAAAAAUCCCGAUUUCACCCGGAACCAUUCCGAACUCCAAAUAUAGGCUUCCAAUAUAUCAAUCUUUAUGUCUCGACCAUUUCGAGACUCCUCGUCAUGUCCGUGAUCACAUCCGGGACUCCGAACUUCUUCGGUACAUCAAAAUACACAAACUCAUAAUAUAACCGUCAUCGAAACCUUAAGCGUGCGGACCCUACGGUUCGAGAACAAUGUAGACAUGACCGAGACACGUCUCCGGUCAAUAACCAAUAGCGGGACCUGGAUGCCCAUAUUGGCUCCUACAUAUUCUACGAAGAUCUUUAUCGGUCAGACCGCAUAACAACAUACGUUGUUCCCUUUGUCAUCGGUAUGUUACUUGCCCGAGAUUCGAUUGUCGGUAUCCAAUACCUAGUUCAAUCUCGUUACCGGCAAGUCUCUUUACUCGUUUCGUAAUACAUCAUCUCACAGCUAACUCAUUAGUUGUAAUGCUUGCAAGGCUUAAGUGAUGUGUAUUACCGAGAGGGCCCAGAGAUACCUCUCCGAUAAAUGGAGUGACAAAUCCUAAUCUCGAAAUACGCCAACCCAACAUCUGCCUUUGGAGACACCUGUAGUACUCCUUUAUAAUCACCCAGUUACGUUGUGACGUUUGGUAGUACCCAAAGUGUUCCUCCGGUAAACGGGAGUUGCAUAAUCUCAUAGUUAUAGGAACAUGUAUAAGUCAUGGAUAAAAGCAGUAGCAACAUACUAAACGAUCGUGUGCUAAGCUAAUGGAAUGGGUCAUGUCAAUCAGAUCAUUCAACUAAUGAUGUGACCUUGUUAAUCAAAUAACAACUCUUUGUUCAUGGUUAGGAAACAUAACCAUCUUUGAUUAACAAGCUAGUCAAGUAGAGGCAUACUAGUGACACUCUGUUUGUCUAUAUAUUCACACAUGUAUUAUGUUUCCGGUUAAUACAAUUCUAGCAUGAAUAAUAAACAUUUAUCAUGAUAUAAGGAAAUAAAUAAUAACUUUAUUAUUGCCUCUAGGGCAUAUUUCCUUCA
RNAcentral lists this long non-coding RNA (76448 nucleotides) under Triticum aestivum (bread wheat). RNAcentral's name for it is "long non-coding RNA (TAES_LNC023454)". The record is from RNAcentral. Lineage: Eukaryota; Viridiplantae; Streptophyta; Magnoliopsida; Poales; Poaceae.